GCAUGGAAAGGUGGCCACAUGAUUACAAAGAGAUGAAGCAUGAAGUCGAGAUCAUGGUGAUAGACAAGGAGUAAAGUAAUCAAGGCAAAGGUAUAAACAUAGGGUUUUGCUUUUGCCAGUCUAAGUUGAGUAGAGAAGUGAUUGACCAGGUUUAGGAUAGAUAGCCGACUAUCAAGAGGGGAAAUCACAGUCAUCUCUCGAAUCAAGUGCUACCAGGUCCAUAUCUUGAGCAUAUGCAUUAGGAUCUAGUGAAGUGCUAACCUAACUCCUUUGAUGAAAAUGUUUGUGAAAAGCUAAGACACAUGCACAUUGGUGGUGGUCACUUGGUGGUGCUAGCACAUUUGCAAAGGAGGUGGAGUUCCUAGGGUAGAUAGGGUUUGGGGUUCCUAGAUUCGACGCUUUUGGGAAAUUGAAAUGUAUAUUUUCUAUUGCACCAAUGGAAAGUUUGGGAAAGUCACGAGAGUGUUUUUCAUUGGAAAAUACUCACCAGACGUUAGCCUCGGAGGCACCGGACGCUGCUCCUAAGUGUCUGGUGCGCUCUCAUUUUUGGCAAAGGUGAAGGGAACACCGGAUGCUGAGCAUCGGAUGGUGGCCAGACACUAUUGGUGCAUCCGGUGUUGUCUGACAUCAGUAGGUGUUUCUGACUGAGAGCACCAGACGCUCAAGGCGCGUCCUGUGGUGUGAGUUCGGUGUCCCUAUGCAUUUGCAGCACUCUCUGAGUAAGGGACCGGACGCUUAGGGUGUGUCUAGUAGUCUGCAUCCGCUGACCCAGCGCGUUUUACACCCUCUCUACAUAUGGGUCUGGUGAGUACCUGACGCGUUCGGUGCUCACUUGAUCGUGUCCGAUAGUUUGUAGGUGACCGUUAGAGAUCGACAUGUGAAAGUCAAAAGGACGACACGUGGUUAUCAUCAAGGCACUAGACGCAGGGUUCCAGUGUCUGGUGGCUCCCCAUUGUGUGUCUGAUGCCCCUAAGUUUUACCCAGUGAUAGAGCCAAGGACUCUAUUUGUUGAGAGGGCUUAUAAAUAGGAGGUGUCCAGCUUUGGGGGGUCUCUCUUGCACUUUGACAUACUUGAGACAUUCUUUGAGCUAGAGAACACUCCCUCCACUCAUCUCCUUGCUUGAUUGCUAAUCCUAGUGAGAUUGAGUGAGAUUCAAGUGCAUUGCUUAGUGAGUUGCAUCUAGUGGCACUUGAUUUUUGAGUUUGUUGCAGAUUUCUUGUUACUCUUGGGUGUUUCUCGACGCCCUAGAUGUCUUGGAGAAGCGAAGGUGUUGAGCUCAUGAUUAGAGAUUGUUUUGAGCCUCACCAAGUGAUUUGUGAGGGGUUCUUGAGCCUUCCCCGCGGGAGAUCGCAAUUGGCUACUCUAGUAGAUUGCUCGUGGCUUGGAGGAUCCUCAUCUUGGAGUGGAUGUGCAGCACCCGCGGAGGGUUUGGCUUUGAAUUGCCAAUUAGCUCGUGAUCCAUCAAGUGGGUGUAUCACCACAAUGAGGACUAGCUUGCCGGGAAGCAAGUGAACCUCGAUAAAAUAUCGUGUCAUAUCUUGCCGAGGAUUCUCUCUUGUGCUUGUGAUUGUAAGUGAUUGAUUGAUUGGUCAUAUUCCUACUCUACAACGUUGGUAUAACAAUCACUCCCCACUCCUUUACUUACUAGCAUACCUUGCUAGUUGUUUAGCUUGUUUAGCUUAGCCUUGUUGUUUAGGAGUGUAGGUAGUUUUAGUUGUGCUUUCUUGUUGUGACUUAGUGUUUAGCUUUCUUGCUAGAAUUGUGUAGGUGGCUUGCAUAGCUUAGUUAUGCUAGUGCUAGAAUAACUUCGCCAUUUAUUUUACUAACACACUUGCUGAGUGAAGUUUGUAGAAAAUUUAAAUAGGCUAUUCACCCCCUCUCUAGCCAUUUGGACCUUUCAAGUGGUAUCAGAGCUGAGGCACCAUUUAAUUGAGGCUUAACAACCUUCGGUGAAGAAAUGGCUCUUAGUUUGCAUAUCAACAACACCAAGAAGGUACCUUAGUUUGAUGGCACCAAUUAUGCAUAUUGGAAGGUCAAGAUGACCACGCAUCUUAAGUCAAUCAAUAGAGAGGAUUGGAAGGUGACCCAAAAAAAGUUUGAGGUUGCAAAUGACAAUGCACCAACACUGGUUGAAGAAAAGAAGCUUCAAUGCAAUGACAUUACAAUAAGUGCUCUUCAUGAAGCUCUUGAUGACAAGACCUUUGAGCAAAUCAAGAACAUUGAGAUUGCUCAUGAUGCAUGGGCAAAGCUAGAAGAAACAUUUGAGGGCACUAAGGGCACCAAGACCACCAAGGCAUACAUCCUUCAAGAAAAUUUCUCAAGCUUCAAAUGCAAGAGGAUGAAAGUAUGCCGAAAAUGUUCCAUCGGUUGCAAGUCAUUGUGAAUAAGCUCAAGGCACUUAGGGAAGAAGUGAAGGAUAGUCAAUUCUCUAUGAAGUUCUUGAGAAGCUUACCCAAGAGAUUUAACACAUUGAUCACCGUGCUAGUCAAGACAACACUUAGUGAAUCAACACCUAAACAAGUAUUCCAAGAGGUGAUGACUGAUGAUGCCUAUAGAGAAGAUGAUGAGAAGGAUGAGUUGGUCAAGAAGAAGAAGAAGAAAGGUGAAAAGAAGGAUGAUGAGAAUAAGAAGAGUGUAGCAUUUAAGGCCUCCACAUCUAAGGGCAAAGUCAAGAUAGAAUCAUCAAGUGAAGAAGAAGCAAGCUCUUGUGAUAGUGAUAAAGAUGAGGAGAUGGCUCUUCUUGUCAAGAGAUUUGGCAAGUUCAAAAAGAAGAAGGGCUACCGGGCUAGGAGAAAGAAGAGCUCUUCCAAGAAAAAUUAUCAUGCCAUGAGAUACUUUAGAUGCCAUAGCAAGGAUCAUCUCAUCGCCAAGUGUCCCUAUGAUAGUGAUGAUGAAGAUGCUAUCAAGAAGGAAAGAAAGAAGCAAAAUAAGAAGCAAGAAAAGAAAGAAGGCUCAAACAUGAAGAAGGGUGAUGCCCAUGUUGCAACUUGGGAUAGUGAUGACUCCUCAAGUGAUGAUGAGAGCACCAAGAAGAAGGGGGCACGCUAGCAUUACAAUUCAAGGAAAGAGCUCCAUCUUGGACACUCCAUCAUGCUUCAUGGCUAAGGCCACUAAGGUAUCAUCCGAUGAUGAGAGUGACCAUGCUAGUGAUAGUGAUAGUGAUGAUGAUGAACCUACUAAAGAUGAACUAAUCAGUAUGCUAGAAGACUGCACUUAUCACUAUAAAGAAACUAGAAAGGAGUGCAAGGCCUUGCUCAAGGAUAAGAAAACCCUUAUGCAAGAACUUGAUGAGCUUAGAGCAUCUUAUGAGAGUCUAAAGGUAGACCAUGAGAAGCUACAAAAGACUCACCCUAAGCUUGAAGAAGCUCAUUCCUCUCUAGUUAACAAAUGUGAAAAUGAGCCAACAAAAAUUGAGAAAGCUAAAACUUGCAACAUAGGCCUAACAUGUGAGAUCUUAAGUAAGCCUAUUAUUGUUGCUUCUACUAACCCUUCAUGUAGCACAUCUACAUCAUCCUCAUCAAGUAGUGAUGGUUUCACUUGUGACACCACACUAAAAGCUGAGAAUGAAAUUCUCAAGAAGGAGGUGAAAGAGCUCAAUCACACCUUAGCCAAGGCUUAUGGUGGUGAGGACCGCUUGCUUAUGUGCUUGGGUAGCCAAAGAGAUUCUCUCUACAAAGAGGGAUUGGGCUAUAACCCCAAGAAAGGCAAGGCCACCUUUGCUCCUCACAAGACACGUUUUGUGAAGAACAAUGGCCGGUUAUUGCAAAGCUUGCAAGCAAGUUGGUCACUUAGAGCAAUAAUGCAUGAACAAGAAACCCAAAGCUAAUGUAUCCUCAAUUAAGCUUAAUUCUUUCUAUGUGCUUACCAAGGAUACAAAAGGUGUUCAUGCUAAAUUCACUGGUGCACCAUGGAUGGGCUCAAAGAAGAAAGCCAUUUGGGUACCAAAGAGCUUAGUUGCUAACCUUGGAUGACCCAAUCAAGUUUGGGUACCUAAAAAUAAUUGAUCUUGUCUUGUAGGUCAAUUACAAAGCCGGAGGAAGGCAUUGGGUGCUUGAUAGUGGGUGCACUCAACAUAUGACCGGGGAGUCUUGUAUGUUCAAAUCAAUUGAUACUAGCCAAAAUGGUGGCUUUGAUUCUAUCACUUUCGGUAACAACAAGAAAGGCAAGGUCAAAGGGCUUGGUAAAAUUGCUAUCUCAAAUGACAUGAGCAUAUCAAAUGUGUUGCUAGUUGAAAACCUAGAUUUCAAUCUCUUGUCAAUUGCUCAACUUUUGGACCUUGGUUUCAAGUGCAUCUUUGGUAGUGAUGAUGUUGAGGUGGUUAGUGUUGAUGGAUCCAACUUGAUAUUCAAAGGAUUUAGGCAUGGUAGCUUAUACUUGGUUGAUUUCAAUGAUAGUGACACUCAAUUGACAUCUUGCCUAAUUAGCAAAUCAAGUUUGGGUUGGUUGUGGCAUAGAAGCCUUGGUCAUGUUGGAAUGAAACAACUAAACAAACUAUUGGGGCAUGGCUUAGUUAGAGGCUUGAAGGAUGUCACUUUUGAGAAGAACAAACCAUGUAGUUCUUGUCAAGCCGGAAAGCAAGUUGGAAAUGCACAUCCUAAAAAAUGAAAUGAGCACAUUAAAGGCAUUUGAGCUAUUGCACAUGGAUUUAUUUGGGCCGACAACAUACACUAGCAUUGGUGGCAACAAAUAUGGCUUUGUGAUAGUUGAUGACUACACUAGAUACACUUGGGUGUUCUUCCUCUAUGACAAGAGUGAUGUUUGUGAUCUAUUUAAGUCUUUUGUCAAUAGAGUGCAAAAUAAGUUUGAGACCACUAUCAAGAAGAUUAGAAGUGACAAUGGUAGUGAGUUCAAGAACACAAGAAUUGAGGAAUUGUGUGAUGAUCUUGGCAUUGGACAUCAAUUCAAUCCAACAUACACUCCUCAAUCCAGUGGUGUAGUUGAAAGAAAGAAUAGAACCUUGAUUGAUAUGGCUAGGUCAAUGCUUAGUGAACACAAUGUUAGCCAUUCAUUUUGGAGUGAAGCUAUCAACACGGCUUGCUAUUGUAGCAAUUGUCUCUAUUGCCAUGGGAAGCUUGGGAAGACACCAUAUAAGCUAUUGAAUGGAAGAAAGCCCAACAUUGCAUACUUUAGAGUGUUUGGUUGCAAAUUCUACAUUCUUAAGAAAGGAACUAGAUUGAGCAAGUUUGAGAAGAAAAUGUGAUGAAGGGUUCUUACUUGGUUAUUCCAUCACAAGCAAGGCAUAUAGAGUUUGGAACUUGGAAAGUGGCACUUUAGAAGAAGUUCAUGAUGUUGAGUUUGAUGAAACCAAAGGAUCCCAAAAUGAAACUCAAAAUCUUGAUGAGGUGAGAGGAGAUCAAUUAGCAAAUGCAAUGAAGAACAUGGAUGUAGGUGUCAUAAGGCCGAGGCAAGUUGAUGAUGAUAAUGAUAUUCACAUGAUCAAUCAAGAAGUGCAAAUUGAUACAAAUCAAGCUAGUACUAGUGGCUCUCAUGAUCAAAAUCAAAAUCAAGCAAGUGAAAGCAAUCAACUCCCAACACUCCAACCUACAAGCAUAGCAAGGGAUCAUCCAUUGGAUCAAGUCAUUGGUGGUAUUCAAAGUGAUGUACAAACUAGAUCAAGACUAGCAUCCUUUUGUGAGCACUAGGGAUGAAAAUGGUAUGGAUAUUUUCCGAUCGUAUUCGAGACCGUAUUCAUUUAGAGGGGUUUAGAUCUAUCCGUAUCCGAGUCUGAAUGUUUAAUAUCUGAUACCGUAUCUGUAUAUGAAUACUUAAGUCGUAUAUUUAUGAUGUUGACAUACAAUCGUAUCUUAUCCAACAUUAUUUAUAUUAUCCGUAUUCGAAUCUGAAUCUGACCAAAAAUAUGAAAACAAAUAUGAUAUCAAUGAUAUCUGUCUGUAUUCGAUCCGUUUUCAUCCCUAGUGAGCACCAUUCAUUUGUCUCAUUUGAAGAACCAAAGAGAAUAGAAGAUGCAUUGAAAGAUUCCAAUUGGGUAAAUGUCAUGCAUGACGAAUUGAACAACUUCACAAGAAAUCAAGUGUGGGAGCUUGUUGAGAGGCCAAAGAACUAAAAUGUGAUUGGUACCAAGUGGGUCUUUAGAAACAAGCAAGAUCAAGAUGGUGUAGUUGUAAGAAACAAAGCAAGAUUAGUAGCACAAGGCUACACACAAGUUGAAGGUCAUGACUUUAGAGAAACUUAUGCACCGAUUGCAAUAUUGGAGGCAAUUAGAAUAUUAUUAGCCUAUGCUUGUGCCCACAACAUCAAGUUCUAUCAAAUGGAUGUGAAGAGUGCAUUUCUCAAUGGAUAUAUCAAUGAGUUAGUUUAUGUUGAACAACCUCCUGGUUUUGAAGAUGACAAGAAACUCAACCAUGUUUACAAGCUCAAGAAGGCUUUGUAUGGUUUGAAGCAAGCACCAAGAGCAUAGUAUGAGAGAUUGAGAGACUUUCUCCUCUCUAAAGGGUUCAAGAUGGGAAAAGUUGACACUGCCCUCUUCACCAAGAAAUUAGGCAAUGACUUGUUUGUGUUGCAAAUCUAUGUUGAUAAUAUCAUCUUUGGAUCAACCAAUUAAGACAUUUGUGAAGAAUUUGGAAGAAUGAUGGCAAAUGAGUUUGAGAUGUUCAUGAUAGGAGAGCUUAGUUACUUCCUUGGACUUCAAAUCAAGCAAAUAAAGAAUGACACUUUUGUAAGUCAAGGAAAGUACAUCAAGGACAUGAUCAAGAAGUUUGGGUUCUAAGAAGCUAAGCCAAGGAGCACACCUAUGGGCACAAAUGAUCAAUUAGGUAGUGAUGCAAGUGGCAACAUGGUAGAUCAAAAGCUAUACCGAUCUAUGAUUGGAAGUUUGCUCUAUGUCACCGCAUCAAUGCCGGAUGUAAUGUUAGUGUGUGCAAUUGUGCAAGAUACCAAGCUUCACCUAGGGAGAGUCACUUGAAGGCAACCAAAAAAAUAUCGAGGUAUCUCAAGGGCACUCAUGAUGUUGGAUUAUGGUAUCCCAAGGGGUCUAACUUUGAGUUGAUUGGAUAUUCAGAAUUCGACUAUGGUGGCUGCAAGAUUGAUAGAGUGAGCACAAGUGGCACUUGUCAAUUGCUGGGAAGGUCUCUAGUUUCAUGGUCAUCAAAGAAACAAAAUAGUGUUGCACUAUCAACCACCGAGGCCGAAUACAUUAGUGCCGAUAGUUAUUGUGCACAAUUGAUUUGGAUGAAAGCUAUCUUAAAUGACUUUGGAAUCAAAUUCAAGAAUGUGUCUUUGCUAUGUGAUAAUGAGAGUGCAAUCAAGAUGACACAAAAUCUAAUUCAACAUUCAAGAACCAAGCACAUUGACAUAAGGCACCAUUUCAUAAGAGAUCAUCAACAAAAGGGUGAUAUUAGCAUUGAAAGCAUUGGCACCGAAGAUCAACUAGCCGACAUCUUCACAAAGCCACUUGAUGAGAAGAGAUUUUUCAAGUUGAGAAAUGAAUUGAACAUACUUGACUUCUCCAACUUGAGAUGAGUGCACCCCCACAUUUAUAUAUGACAUGCCUCUCCUCCAACAAAGCAAGGUAAAGUUGGUUGACGUAGCAUUCAUACUUUGCUAAGGACAUGAUUAGAACAUAUAGACAUGUUUGCAUGAUAAUAGGCUCAUUCAUGAAAAUCAAAAGCAUUUGAUGUAUGUAUGGCACCACUAUUGUUUCUAUGAUUAAUUGAUCUAGUGGUAGCAUAUGACAUAUUUGUGAGCUUGCAAGCCUAGUGUUGAAUCUAGAAUAUGAGCUUAUGAUGUAUAAUUCAACAUGGUCAAGAUAACCCUUAUACUUGAUGAGGUGUGAAAAAGCUUGUCCUUGGAUCAAAUCGAAUUACAUGUUCUAGGCAAGCGAUCUAGAUUGAACCAUAAUUUGACCCUCACAUUGAUUGACUUAAUUCUCACUAAAAUUUAAACCUUUGUGGUUAUUGAUGACAAAAGGGGAGAGAAACAAAGAUAAGUCCUAAGUAGGGAGAAAAGAUAAGGUAAUUGCUAUUCAAGAGAAAACCUUUUUAAAACUUGAGCACACAAGUAAGGGGAGCAAGCUCAUGAACUAUUUGUUGCAUUUGAAUGUGCACUAACAUAAUGAGGUGUUGCAUUGCAAGUUUAAAUUCACUACUCUUGUUUGAUUGGUGAUUGCUAGAAAUAGAACUUGAAUGAUAUUUUGAAUUCUAGCAUAGAGUAUUAUUUACAUGUGGUAUCUAGACAUAUAAUAUGAUCUCACGUGGUAUCUUGAGUUUUUGAUGUAUGUCUAGCUACAUUGGUGCUAAGGAUGGGAUAUUGGCAACUCCGAUUGGUAUCACGCUUCAAAGGUCCAUUCUAUACACCUUAGCAUCAUUUUGAUAGUAAAAAAUCUCCCAAAUCUCCAAAUCAUGCAUAUGUGCAAACUUGAACCAAACUCACGGAAGCACAUAUGUAGGGGAGCUAGUACUACCAAAACCGAAAUUGAAAUGUUUGUCCAAUCUUGUCUCAUGAUCAAAAUGCUUUGGACAAGCAAUUCAAGUUCUUUAUAAUUUCAUUUCAUAUCUUUGUGAUGGUUGUCAUCAAUUACCAAAAAGGGGGAGAUUGAAAGCCCAAGUUUGGUUUUGGUAAUUAAUGACACCAAGUUACUAAUGUCUUGUGUUUAAGUGAUUUGAGUUAGGCAUAACAACACAUGUGAUGAAGGUGCAAGGUGGCAUGGAAAGGUGGCCACAUGAUUACAAAGAGAUGAAGCAUGAAGUGGAGAUCAUGGUGAUAGACAAGGAGUAAAGUGAUCAAGGCAAAGGUAUAAACAUAGGGUUUUGCUUUUGCCGAUCUAAGUUGAGUAGAGAAGUGAUUGACCGGGUUUAGGACAGAUAGCCGACUAUCAAGAGGGGAAAUCACGAUCAUCUCUCGAAUCAAGUGCUACUAGGUCCAUAUCUUGAGCAUAUACAUUAGGAUCUAGUAAAGUGCUAACCUAACUCCUUUGAUGAAAAUGUUUGUGAAAAGCUAAGACACAUGCACAUUGGUGGUGGUCACAUGGUGGUGUUAGCACAUUUGCAAAGGAGGUGGAGUUCCUAGGGUAGAGAGGAGUUUGGGUUCCUAGAUUCAACGCUUUUGGGAAAUUAAAAUGUAUAUUUUCUAUGGCCCCAAUGGAAAGUUUAGGGAAGUCACGGGAGUGUUUUUUAUUGGAAAAACACUCACCAGACGCUGGCCUCGGAGGCACCUGACGCUGCUCCUGAGUGUCUGGUGCACUCUCAUUUCUGGCAGAGGUGAAGGGAGCAUUGGACACUGAGCAUCGGACGGUGGCCAGACAUUGUUGUUGCGUCCGGUGUUGUCUGACAUCAGCAGGUGUUUCUGACUAAGAGCACUGGACGCUUAGGGCACGUCCGGUGGUGUGAGUUUGGUGUCCCUGUGUGUUUGCAGCGCCCUCUGAGUAAGGGACCGAACGCACAGGGCUCGUCCGGUGGUCUGCGUCCGAUGACCCAGUGCAUUUUACACCCUCUCUGCAUACGGGUCCGGUAAGUGCCUGACACGUCCGAUGCUCAAUUGACCGUGUCUAAUAGUUUGCAGGUGACCGUUAGAGAUCGACGCGCGAAAGUCAAAAGGACAACAUGUAGCUAUCAUCAAGGCACCCGACGCAGGGUUCCAGUGUCUGGUGGCUCCCCGUCGUGCGUCCGGUGCCCCCGAGUUUUGCCUAGUGAUAGAGCCAAUGACUCUAUUUGUUGAGAGGGCUUAUAAAUAGGAGGUGGCCGGCUUUGGGGGAGUCUCUCUUGCACUUUGACAUACUUGAGACAUACUUUUGAGCUAGAGAACACUCCCUCCACUCAUCUCCUUGCUUGAUUGCUAAUCCUAGUGAGAUUGAGUGAGAUACAAGUGCAUUGCUUAGUGAGUUGCAUCUAGUGGCACUUGAUUUUUGAGUUUGCUGUGGAUUUCUUAUUACUCUUGGGUGUUUUCCGAUGCCCUAGAUGGCUUGGAGCAGUGGAGGUGUUGAGCUCGUGAUUGGAGAUUGUUUGGAGCCUCACUAAGUAAUUUGUGAGGGGUUCUUGAGGCUUCCCCAUGGGAGAUCGCAAUUGGCUACUCUAGUAGAUUGCUCAUGGCUUGGAGGAUCCCCAUCUUAGAGUGGAUGUGCGGCACCCGCUGAGGGUUGGGCUUUAAAUUUCCAAUUAGCUCGUGAUCCAUCAAGUGGGUGUAUCGCCACAACGGGGACUAGCUUGCCAGGAAGCAAGUGAACCUUAGUAAAAAAUAUUGUGUCAUAUCUUGCCGAGGAUUCUUCCAUGGUAUAAGAAUGACCCUUUCAUAAUGACCCUUUCAUAAUUCGUGUAGCACUUGCCAGGAAGCAUAAACAUUCGAGGUCGAUGGUAUAAGAAUGCCCCUUUCAUAAUGGCCACAGAUGCUUCACAAGUCUUUUUCUUGGAAGAUACACAGUUAGGUCCAUGUUGGCGAGUGCUACAAGAAUUUGGGCACCGACAUAUAUUUGAUGUCAAAGAGUCUGACACAAACCAACCAAUUCAAGAACAGAUAUAGAUGAGAGGUUAGGAGGCAUACCAAGAGGAGCAUAUUUCAGCUGGAGAUGGUGCAGUGGGAGACAUUUGUCCUGAUUUGGAUUUGUUGCACAUGGAUACUGAACCAGGCAGCCCUAUUAGUAGAGACCUACAAGGAGAUGAAAUCCGGCAGUAGAAACACACACCUCGAGGUGAUGUAGCAGAGGAAGGAGAUGAAGAUGAAGAUCAAACCUAUCUUGAGUACCAUAGUCCAGUAGAAGAAGGCAGUACUUCAGGAGGAGACAUGGAUGACGACUGAACUUUGCAUUUCUGCAUAUUUUCAUUGUUAUUGAUGACUAAUCUUUAAGAUAAGGCAAUACUUCAUUUUGUUAUUGCCUUUGUUGUAUUUGUAUUAUGCUACCAGAAUUGUGUUUACGAUUAUGAAAAUGUAAGACCUCAUACGCAAUGAUUAUGUUUUCAGUACUUGAUGUAUGAGUUAUGGUGCUCAGAAUUUUAUCACAUGUUGCAGGUUCAAGUGCUCAGAUUUAUAUCACAGAAUGCAAGUUGCAAUCCCCAGGUUUAUGACACAUCUGUUGGGUAUUUUCAACACAAACAGAAAAAUCCGCAAGCGCACAGAUACCGAUGUAGCUUUCACCUGGGAGUAUUCUAGAGUAUCGAUUUUGCACAGGGAACGUGAGUGUACUAAUUAAGACUCAAGAUCGCCCAAGGAUAACUAUAUAAUUAUUUUUGCUAGGAAGAGAGGAAGUUUCCUGAGAGUUCUCUAGUUGAUCUAAGAAUCAAGAAUUACUUCAAAGAUUAUUUAUUUCGGGACAUCAGAACAAUAACCACAGAAAGAGAUGAGAAGGGGGCUAGGAAGCUCUGACUACGGUCCUACAAACACCGAUACGAACGAGAUGGAAUACGUCGACCGUUAGGGCUGUCACUAACCUAGGGCUACCACAACAAUCCGCAGGAUUGGGUGCAAUUCCAGGUAAUUGCAAGACUAAACACCACGUCUAAUCUAUUAAUUACUACUCUAGCGUUAUAAAGACUAAAGCACUUGAUGCAAGCGGGAAUCCAAUAAAUAACUUGAAUGUAAAUAAAAGUAAUUAAAGAACUCAGGAAUUAUAAAUUGAAGAACUUGGAGAACGAUGAAGAACGAACUAGUUGCUGCAAAAGAAUAAUGUUGAGGAAGAUCCGACAGAUCCGGCUCCUCCUCCGCUCUCCUCUUCUCUCUCCCUAUUUUCUAGAUUACAACUAGAUCUAACUAGAACUAGAACUAGAGGAACUAGAACUAGAACUAGAUGAACUAGAGGGAUCCUCUCUACUUGGAUGAAGAAUUGAAACUCUAGCUUUGAUUUUGUAGAAGAGGUAUGAUCUCCAAGGGCCAGGGAGCCUUGCUUAUAUAGUCUUUUCAAAUGAAUCUGGGCCGUCGGAUCAAACCGACAUCAAUCACACGGUUUUCCUUGAUCCCUUAGGUCGGUGGAGCAUGAUCUGCAAAGUUGAUCGUGAUUGGUGGAAAAAGGUGGGCAGGCGCCCUAAGGAGUAGGGCGGGCGCCCUGUCCCUGAGCCCUCUCAGCUUCCCGUUCGUUCCGGUGGCUUCUGGAGUCUCCUAGAUGAUAGAAAAUUGCGUGGCAUGUUAAUAUCUCUAUGUAAACCCAACGUGUGGGCCUUUCUUCCGUAUUUCCUGAUAACCCCCUGCAGAAAUAGACAAACACCAAAACUCGUGGAAUUCUGUCAGAUAAAACCCUAAGUCUGGGUGUUGGUUGCAUUUGGAUCCUUUUCCAUGAUUAAUUGACGGUUAAAUGUGAGCAUUAAGGACCGUCAACAAGCUCCCCCAAGCUUAACCUUUGCUCGUCCUUGAGCAAAGAUGAACUCAAGAGUUUCUGCAGUGGUUUCAUGCCUUAAAGGUACACAUGCGUUCAAACAAGAUCUCAGCUCUGGGUUAGGGCAAACUGUUAAGAUUUAAACUUACUCAUUUUACCUUCCACCAUGGGGCUUGCAACCAUCACUUAUGUCUUGAGCAGUUAAAAGAUAGAAUGGUCUAGUCAAGCGCCAUGUCUCUUGUUCUUCGAUUAACUAUAGCUCUGGAGUUUUUGCAGAUUUUCAAAUAAAACUCAGAGAUUCCUUGUAUGACUCUCUCUAGUCUCUCUUUUAUGGUAUUUCUGGAUCCUUACCAAGGCAGUAAUGGUGUAUGCCUUCUCUCAAAGUAUGUGGUAUUUUUGGCAUAAAGCAUAGUGACAUUGCCUUAUCUCUCAUCAUACUCUAAUAAGGCUUUUGAUAUCUGGAGCUCAUAGGUGGGAGACAGCUAAUACAUACUUAUAAGACAUUUAUUGCAUAAUCAAACCAUGGAUCCAGAAGAACAAGUCAAUAAGUCAAAUCAACAUGUGCAUGUGUGGCGAAUGAAUGAUGUAUGGUGAUGAUGGUGAUAACAAUGGUGAAAGUCUAAUUCUACUUGUGCUCUUUUGAGGGGAUACAUACAUUUCUUGCUCUUUUGAAACUUUUUGAGGAGAAUGAGAUGCUCUAUAUUUUAUUUUUCUUUUCUCUCAGGUGGGUAUCUUGUACCCCUAAUUCUACUGUCGGACACUUGUCCAUUUUUACAUCUCGUCUCACUUCUUCCUUUCUUUCGAGGUUCCGGGCACUUGCCCCUUUUUAUUUCCUCGUAUCUUCUCUCUCUUUUUUAGAGCACUCAUCUCUUGAAAUAAUGUAGCAAGUGGUAGUAAACGAAAUAACUUGAGCAUUUAUUUCAUAGGGGAAAAUAGAAAUAGGAGAAUGUCUUUGGCUAUUCUCUCCCGGAUUAGGAGUAGAAUAUUUUUGGAUGGUUCUGGAGAUGGAAAUGGGUGGAUAUAUGUGGAUGCGUACUUCCAGAGUAGAAGCAGCAUGUGUGAGUGAACGUGCAAGUGAAUCUUGAUUUUAACCACAUGACAAGCUCCUAAGGGUCUACACAGCUUGACCACACUCAAUGCUCAUAAGCAGUAAAAAGUAGAUGUGUGGCUCAAAGUCUAGCAAGUAUGUAUAUAUGGCUAUGGUAGGAAUUUAAACUCUCAUCAUACAGAAACUCAUCAUGUGAUAUUUUAAAAAAUUUCAAAGAUAAAAUUCUCCAGAAUUCUAGCAUCUCAAGGAACAAAUAAACAGUAGCUCAACCUUCCCAUAUCAUAUCCAUUAACGACUUAGACUUUAGAUCAAGUACUCUUCCCACAAGUUCAGGUUUAGAACAAAUCUUAAUUAAUAACAGUCAUGCCUAAACUUGAGAGAGAUUUCAAUUUUGAGAACUAGUCAUGGCAGAGCAACUAUUCAUCAUUUCCAUGUGAGAGCUUAUCAUGAGGGUUCAUAGCAAACUUUAUUUAUUUAUUUAUUUAUUUAGCAAACUAAGCAAAGAUAUAUAUAAGCACAAAAUCUUUAUUUGGGUUUUUAUGAUUAUGCAUCUUUUUAUUAUUUGAGUAAAAUAUAAACAUGAGUGGAACGCUUAGCUAGAUAAAUGGGGGUGCUCUCCCCCAAGCUGGAUUUUGACGUAAUUUCUUCUGGUGUAGCUAGCAAGUGGCGGAGGUGUAUUUGAAUGUUGGCAGCACCCUGACAGCGAUUAGGAUGUCCUCCGUCUGCUAGUCUUCUUUGAUCCUUGAAUUCUGUGGAGCUCAAAUAGACAACAAAGCUUUGUGAAACUGGUUAAGUGUUAGCAUAAAUAUCUAGCCUUUAUCAUGUUGAGCCUCCUCAAUAAAUGUUACUCUCUUUAGUAGGAUCAUAAAUUUAUUUUUAUAAUUUUAUUUUUAUAGGACAGGAAUAUAUUUAUUUUAUUUUUAUGCCACCACAGUGAAUGUACUUAUGGGUUUUAUGCCAUGAGCAUACUCACAUGGGGCUUACUAUUUUUAAUAUUUUUAUUUUCUUUUCGAGAUGAUAUGAACCUGAUUAACUAAGCAGACUAUUUUAAAUAAUUGAAAGGAAAAGGAUAACUACCAAGUUUACCUCUUGGCCAGGCGUUCGGUGUUUUUAAGUCUUCCGAACAAGACUCUCUGUUUUCUCAGUCGUCCUGAGAUUCGCUGGACGGCGUAGUCGGUGGUUCCGGCGGCGCCUCCUCUUCGUGUAUAACUAUCUUCUCUCUCCAUACCUGACUCGGUGCUACGGUCUCCUCAAGAUAGUUUUGUUCAAGUUGUAUGUCUUCAGACCUUACAACUUCUCCUUCAUAGUCUACCCAUCCGUCCUUGAUGAUUUGUCUCCUCUGGUUGCGGUUGCGUCGUCUUCUUCUUGUCCUAACCUUCUUAGAGUCUUCCGCUAUAUAGUUAGGGUCAGUGAAAUAGCGGCGUACCUUCUCAGAGGGGAAGUUCAUGUGGACUUCUCCGGUUCUAAUGUAGAUGAUUGCUUUAACGGUGCUGAGGAACGGUCUCCUAAGGAUGAUGGGUGGAUCGUACUCGUCUUCAACAUUUCAGAAUGUCUAUGUGCCAUCUGGAGCUGAAUGUAUGUCGGUUUUAUGGGCAUGGUUCCGAACAGGAGCUGAUAGGUGACUGCGGCCAUUAUAUUGACGCCUGACCCGGUGUCGCAAAGCAUCUUCUGGAAGUUGUAUCCAUUAAUAGAGCACUGGAUGCUUGGCAUACUUGGGUCGUCCUUUUUGGUCAGGAACGGUGACUUAAGUCGACGAUCUUGACCUCCUUGAACUGCAGUGAUCAUCUUAGCUGACUCGGUCCACAUUUGCUUGUUCCUGUCCCUCCUGUUGGUCCUCUUGCUUGGUUCAUAUCGAGAUUGCUCUGAGACUUGUGUAGUCUUGUUCUUGAAGGAAAACAUCUCCUUCCUCCCCUUGAUGUAGAAACUGAUCUUGGCAGCACUAGCGUAGAUGACAGCUCCUGAGGUGUUCAGGAAUGGCCUCCCUUGGAUGAUGGGUGCCCUCUCAUCAAUACCAGUCUCUAUCACCACGAAGUCUGCUGGGGCGUACAAGAUACCAACUCGGACGCAGAGGUUCUUCAAUAUUCCCUUUGGGAAACUUAGUGUCUGAUCUGCAAGAUGCAAACACAUGGUUGUUUCUAGGAAAGGAUGUGUAAAGAAUUUUUCAUAGAGUACCCUGAGCAUAAUGUUGACAGUGGAGCCAAAGUCGCAGAGUGCUUUUAGGAAGUCCACCAUGCCGAUGGAGAUCGGGAUGACAGGGCGUCUUGGAUUGUCUCUCUUGACCGGCAGAAGGUCAGUAAUUACUUCCACAACGGGGUUACUCCAGUAGUUACAUCCUCAAGCAUCUCAGGGCAGUGAUUGCCUGAGUGUCCAGUAUCUCCAGUGUGUUUGUGCUCGUAGAUCUAGGUUCUUCACUUAGUGGAGUCUGGGAGUUGUAAAAGUCCUUCAUAUUUCGCUCGAAGUGUACCUGCUCAUAAAGACAAGGCAGAGAUCAAGUGCAUGGGCCCUGUUGGUGGAAAACACCAACAGAACCAAAAGUGUAUUUGCUCUUCUCUAACCUCAAGUAUAGUGAGCAAGACAAAGUUGAUGGAUAAUAAGAUCAUGAGUGUAACAUUUAAAACAUUUGUCAGAUCAGAUCGCUCAAACUAAUGGAAAGAUAAUCUAUCUAUACUUAUGUUAUAUAUAUAUAUAUAUCUUCCAAAGAUUGCGUGUGCAACAUUUUAGUUCAUAUGAUUAGGAGUGUGGGAUCACAAAGGUGGAAGGACUAAACAUAUUGAAUCGACUGGGUUGGUUAAUCUAGAGUUGUAAAUCAUACAUGUUUAUCUCUUUUAUUCAUGUGAACGCCAGAACCAAGGAGAAGCUUAUAGAAGUGAUUGUCAAGUACCUUAAGAUGUUACCUUACUUGAAGAGUGAUGGUACAGUAUCACCUUAUGGAAGCUUUCCUUUCUUAGCGGUUGUGCAUCGUGUUUGUGGUACCCUCCACGGAUCAUCUCUUGUGAGCUAUGCCUUUCUUGUGUAAAUUGUUAACCUUCAUGCGUCUCUCUCUUUGUCUCCAAUGUGAGUUUAUCUCAGGACUUCCCAGGUCGAUAUUGAAAUUUUUCCUGCAGGGGUUAGUCCAACAAAAUAUCCAAUAUCUACUAUAGCAUACUAUCGGCUCAAAAAUCAACCUAGACACCAUGUCUAAUUUGAUUUAGGAGGGCAUUUUAACCUAAGCACCAUGCUUAAUUUAAAAUCCUUUGGAAGUAAGAUCAUCAUUCCUAAACUAAGCACCAUGCUUAAUUAAGAGAUAAAUGAAACUACUCCAAACCUAGACAUAUACUAAAGCAAAUAAAGGUAGCAUGAGAGCAUUUAUAGAGUUCUACUCAAGUGGAGAUGAAGUAGUGUGAUUAGUAUUUAACAAAUUGAGCAUGUCUCAAAGGUAGGGACAACCAACGUAGCAACAUGGCAAAUGAUGUUUCUAUGUAAAGUACUCCCCCAAGCUUGAAUUUUGCAAAAUUCAAGUUUGGAUGAAUUUAAUUCAAUGUUGUAUGAUGAUUGGUUGGACAUACCUUGUGCUUGUCAUUCAUUCGAUCUUCUUGCUCCAAUCUUGGAAAGGUUAGUGACAAGAAUACCCGAAGAAUUUUUUUUACAAUUAUCCUUAUAUGCUCAAUACACAAGGUAAUAUUGCAAAUAAUUAAAAGCUCAUGUUAUGAUCUGAUCAGUGCUUAUUUUAGGACACUAAGCUUGUCCUUGGGAAACCAUCAAUUUAUGUCGGCGAAGUGGUUUCCCCUUCAACGCUGACCUAUAUCAAGAUCAACUCAACGAGAUCUGCAAUAUUUAUUAUAGACAUAUGUAUCGACAACUGCCCUUUUAAACUUUUUAUAAAUAGAAAGGAUGAGGGGGUUGGAGAUCUCGAAUGUGGUGAUGUUGGAGAGACCAAAAGAUUGGGAAGAUGUUGCAUAUGAGCAUGGAGUAAAUGAAGUGGCUAUGAAUUAAAUUCCAUGCUCAUUAAUGCAUAGAGUGAAAUCCAUGUGGUGUGGUGAAAAUGGUAAUUUAAGGUGAGUGUGGUAAAAAAAGGAAAAGAAAAAAGAUACACGGACGACUUGGUUUGAAACUAGCACAGCUACCUUCCCCGGCAACGGCGCCAGAAAGCUUGUUGGGUAUUUUAAACGCAAACAGAAAAAUCCGCAAGCGCACGGAUACGAUGUAGCUUUCACCCGAGAGUAUUCCAGAGUAUCGAUUUUCCAUAGGGAACGUGAGUGUACUAAUUAAGAUUCAAGAUCGCCCAAGGAUAACUAUAUAAUUAUUUUUGGUGGGAAGAGAGGAAGUUUCCUGAGAGUUCUCUAGUUGAUCUAAGAAUCAAGAAUUACUUCAAAGAUUAUUUAUUUCGGGACAUCAGAACACUAACCACAGAAAGAGAUGAGAAGGGGGCUAGGAAGCUCUGACUACGGUCCUACAAACACCGAUCCUAACGAGGUGGAAUACGUCAACUGUUAGGGCUGUCACUACCCUAGAGCUACCACAACAAUCCGCAGGAUUGGGUGCAAUUCCAGGUAAUUGCAAGACUAAACACCACGUCUAAUCUAUUAAUUACUACUCUAGCGUUAUAAAGACUAAAGCACUUGAUGCAAGCGGGAAUCCAAUAAAUAACUUGAAUGUAAAUAAAAGUAAUUAAAGAACUCAGGAAUUAUGAAUUGAAGAACUUAGAGAACGAUGAAGAACGAACCAGUUGCUGCAAAAGAAUAAUGUUGAGGAAGAUCCGACAGAUUUGGCUCCUCCUCCGCUCUCCUCUCCUCUCUCCCUAUUUUCUAGAUUACAAUUAGAUCUAACUAGAACUAGAACUAGAUGAACUAGAGGGAUCCUCUCUACUUGGAUGAAGAAUUGAAACCCUAGCUUUGAUUUUGUAGAAGAGGUAUGAUCUCCAGGGGCCAGGGGGCCUUGCUUAUAUAGUCUUUUCAGAUGAAUCUGGGCCGUCGGAUCAAACCGACAUCAAUCACACGGUUUUCUUUGAUCCCUUAGGUCGGUGGAGCACGAUCCGCAAAGUUGAUCGUGAUUGGUGGAAAAAGGUGGGCGGGCGCCCUAAGGAGUAGGGCGGGCGCCCUGUCCCUGAGCCCUCUCGGCUUCCCGUUCGUUCCCGUGGCUUCUAGAGUCUUCUAGAUGAUAGAAAAUUGUGUGGCACGUUAAUAUCUCUAUGUAAACCCGACGUGUGGGCCUUUCUUCCGUAUUUCCUGAUACCCCCCUGCAGAAAUAGACAAACACCAAAACUCGUGGAAUUCUGUCAGAUAAAACCCUAAGUCUGGGUGUUGGUUGCAUUUGGAUCCUUUUCCAUGAUUAAUUGACGGUUAAAUGUGAGCAUUAAGGACCGUCAACAACGUCAUAAUGUCAUAUAAUGCCCAAAUUUUGUCAUGGAAUGUACUGAAACCGUCACAAAAUGUAUAUGCUGAAAGUAGCUAUACCAAACAUUCAUCAAACACAAGUAAAUCACCAUAAUGACACAGGACAAUAUCAUGAAAUGCAAAUAAUUUGUCAUGCAAUGUAGAAAUUUUGUCACAAAAUGUACUGGCCAGAAAAAACUUCCUAGAUUUCUCUAUUAUCAUGACCAAAGACAAUGUCAUUAAAAGUACACAAGCUAUCACAAAAGAUACAUGCACACAACAGAUGUCCAAGGGGACAAAGGCCCAUAGUUCAUAACAAAGACAAAUCUAGCAUAAUAAGUUCAUUACAUCAUUUUCACCAACACCCUGCUUCAUCAGCCUUGCCUACUUGAACACUACAGCUAGCACCAAACAGAUGCCCAACACCUUCAUCAGCCUUGCCUACUUGAACACUACAGCUAGCACCAAACAGAUGCCCAACACCUUCAUUAGCCUUGCCUACUUGAACACUACAGCUACAACCAAUAAAAUGGCCAACAGUAGAAACAGUGUUACAUUCACACAUCCACAGACUAGACAAAUGCAGCUUGCCAUGCCAUCCUUGUUCUUCACUACCACUUCAUUCAGCUUGUUCAGGCUUUGGGUGAAGCUUUCAAUUUUGCCUACGUCCUUGGCAACUUUUGUCGUCCUCGCAGCUGAUUGUAUAUAUCCAUUAUCCUCUAGAUAGAGCACAUAUUCUUCCUCAAACCAAUAGCUAGAACAUGUCCCCUGCACCACAUUGCAAAUCAAUUAAAUUUGGUCAACGAAGAUAAAAAAUUGGGGUCCAAAAAACUGUCACAGCCAACAACACUCACAUAGCUUUGCCUAGCACACUUGAAGUAUCUUUUUCCACGGUUAACCUCAGAUUUCAUGGUAGUGGCAGCAAACACCCUCCUAUCCUUACAUUCAGGGCACUUUAUCAAUGGCAACUUCAACACUUCAUCAAUUGGUGCCUCCGGAUCGACAGUUCCAGACAUGUCAGGUGGUGAUGUCCGCCGAGUGCGAGCAGUACAUGAUGACACCUGAGACAUGAGGCCUGAUUGAGAGACAUGGGCUCAUUAGGUCAUCGACAAACAUUUCCUCAUGAAAAGCAUGGACAAUUUAUCAUUGCCAUUGGAAAUAAUCUUAGAAUAGCUACAACAUGAACAACAGUAGCAGCACUAGCUUGGACUUGAGCUCAGGUAAAUUAAUUAGAAGAACAACUACUAAUAAUCAUUCAAUCUACAUGAAUUCUCUGGGUUGUUGGACACUCCUAGCUGCGCUUGAACACCGAUUGAGACCGGUAGAUGAUGAGGCCUGAGACAUUAUCACUAAAUAAAAUGGAUAUUAAUUAGGCAUAGCAUUAAGCAUAGCAUUACACAUCAAUUAGGGAAGAUAACUCUGUGAAACAAAACAAGUUGGGGGAGAUGAGCAGAGGGGGGACGCGGAGGGGAUGAGGGUGCAUCGAAGGUGUCCGGGAGGGGGAAGAGGGUGGGUGGCACCUGGGGAGAAGGCCAGAGCCUAGCGCGCCUAGGAUUGGAGAGAGGGAUAUACCUGCCUCCACCGGUGCCUUGGUCCCCGCUGAAAUCACCGAGAUGCCGCCCUAGACUCCACCCACCAGCGCCCAAACGCCGCCACGUUGUCGACGGGGAAGAGGGAUAGGGGACCCGCCGCACCGUCCUCCACCCUUCGCCGUCGGCCCCUCGCUCCGUGCUCACCGCCCUCCGCCACGCCCGCGACGACCUCGCCUCCCUCCCUCAAUUCAGUUGACGCCGGGAAGAUGGGGAAAGUGAAGUGGUCAACGUAUAUGGAUAGGGUCCACCUACAAGGAGUAUAUUUACUCUGUGAAUGGUCAUUUUUGGAACUUACUUAUUGUGACACAAUUUAAACAUCACAUAAAGUCACACCAUAGUGUCAUAAAAGGACAAACGACGACAGGUGCCCCGUGUUUGGCAAUUUGUGACAAACCUGUUGACCUUUAUGUGACACAUUAGAUACCAUCGUCACAAAUACAUCUAGGUCUCACAACUUUGUGACGACACAAAAAAUAUCGUCAUAUAAAGCCACAUUAUGUGACAAAAACUACCCCCGCCAUAAGCUAUUUUGUCACAAAAAGAUAGAUUUCUUGUAGUGCUUGUGCUUGUGAUUGUGAUUGUAAGUGAUUGAUUGGUCAUAUUCCUACUCUACAACGUUGGUAUAACAAUCACUCCCCACUCCUUUACUUACUUGCAUACCUUGCUAGAUGUUUAGCUUGUUUAGCUUAGCCUUCUUGUUUAGGAGUGUAGAUAGUUUUAGUUGUGCUUUCUUGUUGUGACUUAGUGUUUAGCUUUCUUGCUAGAAUUGUGUAGGUGGCUUGCAUAGUUUAGUUGUGCUAGUGCUAGAAUAGCUUCGCCAUUUAUUUUACUAACACACUUGCUUAGUGAAGUUUGUAGAAAAUUUAAAUAGGCUAUUCACCCCCCCUCAAGCCAUUUGGACCUUUCACAUGAACCUUAGUUCAUUUGGGGAUUGAAGGAUAACCAUUUUUAGGAGGAAGGCUAGGCAAAGUCAGCAUGGAGGGAGACUAGAAUAUUUGGGAGAAUUGGAUUUGGGGCAAGGUUUUACCCCUCUGCGCCCAGUUGUUAAAGAAGGCGAAUUGGGAAAUUGAAUUGUCUUGUCAUUGCUUAGCCUCAACAAGAGCUAGUACAUGGAUAUAUAUAGGCAUUUGACCUGCUAAAUAAAGAGACUCCAUAACUCCCUAUAAAUCCUCUAAUUAUUGCCUUCUUGCAUGUUGGUUAGCAUGCAACUCCUUGGUUGCUGUUGGCGCCGUCUGGGCACUGCCUUUCCUACAUGCUGAUCCGCUCCUUGUUGAUCCUUUGUUGACCAAAUUUUGUUGGAUAAUUGCGCCCGCUAUGGACACCAUGUAGGUGGUCACCAUGCAAACCCCGCUGUCCACACAAUGUGUUGUAGACUUGAAGUGCCAAAUUAAUUUAGAUAUGUCAAACUAAAGGUCUAAUCAUGUAGAGGUAGUUGAAAACUCCAUCUAAAUUGGCUUAUAACUCAUAUACCAAAUCCCACAUUGAAGGAUCUGAUAUAGUUGCGGCAAUUACUAUCUUCGAGAUACAAGGUAGAAAUAAUGAUAAGGAAUGAAUCUAAUUGAUUAUGAGGCCCUAGAUAAGACCCUAGAUUAAAAAGCGACCCAAAAGAUUCCACCAGACGUGCUAAUCUUAUCCAUCAAUCCAAAAAUUGAAGCAUAUGAGAGUAGUGCUAAAGGAAGGGAUUGAAUGAACCUGCAGAUGGAUUGAGAGCUUCUAGAAAAGCUUGGAUGCGUCGGGUGUUGGCUCUGAUGACCAAAAUCGGAGGCUCAGGUGUUUCCAUCAAGGUCUAUACUGCACCACAACAAGUCUUGCUCCACUUCGGGGCUAAUAGAGAAAGAUGCCCGAGCUUCUCAUAGUUCCCACACUUUCUUAACCACUAGUGCCACCUCUAUCUCAACGGCCCGAGCACUGCUGCUGCACUUGCCAUUGCCUCGCUUGCCACUAUCGUGCUCGCGUAGCAUGUGCGACACCACCGCUAGCUACUUUUUGGGGUUUCAAUGGGUUCCAAUGUUCUUUAAGUGUGACUGGAUAUGGCUCUCGAAGGUUAUGCUAAUGCAUGUUGGUUUUUCCUAGGCUGGUAACGGGCCAACAACUAGUUUUAUUAAACCAUUGAACAGACUAAUUAACACAUGCUAAAAUGGAUUCUAACUUAAUAAAAUGCACUUUCUUUGUUUUCAAACAAGUUUUAAAAAAUUUCUUACAGUAUCGUAAGAGUUUCCAAAACUCGCUCUCAAUCUUGAUUUUUUAGUAGGAUUAAAAAAAGUCUCUCUUCUUAUCCUAACUUCCAAUCUUUUUUUAGGCAAUUGAUUGAGACGCGUGAAAAGAUAAAUGUGCGGGUGACUUGAAAUUUGCAUUAAUGCGACUUCUCCUAACUUUUUUUUCGCACCAAGAAAUAAGUUGCCACUCCCAUCUCUUCCUACCAUCCCCUAGGGAUUCAUCAUCACUACCUCCACCGCCAAGAAGGUAAAAUCAGUCAUUUUGCAUAGCCUCUAUUUUGCAUGCCCUAGCCAAAGUCUAGAGGUCUUUAACCAACCCAUCCACUAAUGCUUGGUUGUUGCUGUUUUUUAGUACAUUGUGCCAAGCUGUGGGCAACUAUAGUUGCGUAGGGAUGGCUGCAGCGGCUGAGGAUGGCUGUUGGCCACUUGUUGCCGGCUAGGGCGUGCCUAAAGGUGGUCAGGAGGCGGUGAGGUUGUGGGCAACAUGUACAAUCUAUGUAGAAAGAAGAUCAAGUUGCACCUAACAAACCUUUAUAUGUGAUCUUUUCUAAUUUUUUUAAUGAGAUUUAAAAAACAGUUAGAAUUUAACAGAUAUGUUGACAACUCUUUUUAGCGACUUAAAAACUUAUUGAUUUACGAUUUUUUUUAUAUUAUUAAAGAUUUGCUAACAUCUUCCUACUUGUUAUCACCACCAUGUAAACCUAAAAGUCCUAAAAAAUCUUAGAGCUCAUAUAAUGUACAUAGAAGAUGUGCACUAUAUAAUUUGUUAAGGACGUGACACGACUAAAAUUUUAGCUGAAUUUUAGUUUUUUAUGUGACAAUUAUGACAAAUAUUUUAUAUUAAAAUUAUCGUUUUAGUUGUUGCAAUUUAUAUAGUCAUAAUUUAUCAAUUUUCAAAGCCAUUCAGUAAAAUCAUAAAUACAACAAACCCUUAUCUGUGUUAACACAAAGAUAAUUAAUAAUUUACUAUUAUAUUAGAUACAAGACAACUAAUAAAUCAAGGAAAUAACAAUUUAAUUACUUUAAUUGAUUUUAUAAGAGUGUUACUAAAAAUUAUCUUAAAAUUCAGACAACCAAAAUAUUACUCUCUACAUCUUAAAUUAUAAGUUAUGCUAAGAAUCUUAUAGAGUCUAAACAUCUUAGGUUUGACUAAAAUUAUAGAAAUAGUUAUAAAGAUUUAUGAAAUCAAAUAAAUAUACUAUGAAAAUAUAAUUAAUGAAGAUGGAGUGAGUAUAAGAGAAAUGAUAAAAUAUUUGGAAGGAAAAAAAAAGAAAGGAAAAGGGUGCAGGCUUUUGAUUUGCUUCGGUCUCCUAUUUAUAGCCAACUGCCCCGAAAGCGAUCUCGUCUCGACUCAUCUCAUUUUUUUCUCAUUUCGCCCCCUCCACUGUUUCAAUAAUAAUAAAAGGAUUCUCGAUUCGAUUUCCUCGCCAAUUUUUCCGGUGAGCGGCGGCGAUCGGCUUCGGAUCGGCGCAGCGGAGAUGGUUGCCGUGGCGGCGGAGGUCGCGAUCCGCGGUGCGGACGCCGUGCCGGCGGCGGAGAGGGAAGCGGUGAGGGCGGCGGCUGCGGAGGCGGCGGCGAAGGGCGGUGAGGGGGAAUCGGGGAAGGAGGAGGUGAGGUACUAUGCGAGCGACAUUAGGAAGCUGGAGGAGCUGUUUUCGAAGCUGAACCCCUCGGCGGAGGAGUUCGUGCCGCCGUCGCGCCGCCGCGUGGACGGCGGCGCUCGUCGCCUCUCGGCCGACGCGCCCGUGUUCGUGUCGCCGGCGAUCGACUACUACGCGCGCCACCACCAGCUCCCGCCGCCGCCGCUGCAGCAGCAGCAGCCGAUGCACGUGCUUCAGUUUGUGGGUGGCGUCGGCGGGGGUGGCAUGGGUGGCGGCGGGGGGAGGGACUCAAGCAGCGAUGGAUCCGUCAAUGGUCAGCCGAAUCGACGGGUAAUCAUUGAAUUGCCGAGUCCGAUUCGUUGCGGAUUGUCUCCGGGUAGGGGUUUGCAGUGGGCUGUUUCUGGGUCGAUCGAUCGGUCGGCUUUGGACUUCUUUGUGAUGUUGAUGGCUUUGGAUUUUUGGUCACUCUCGCGCCAUCGCUUGGGGGAGCUGAUCUUUUGGGAGGGUUUUAGGUCUAGAUUGGUUGCAAUAUAAAAUUCAAUCCAUCUGCCAGGAUCAAUUGAUACUGAUACUCUAUGAUACAUGGGAUGUUUAAAAGAUUCUUAUCAGCUGAUUACUUCCUGAUCUCCUGCCAAUGAAUUUUCUGUCAUUGGAUUUUUCCUUAUGGUUUCUUUCUCCGUUAUAUUCUCCCAACAUAUUAUUCGCCAGUGCUAUGAGUUGGGUAAUACAAUUGGAGUACUUUCUUGAGAAUAAUCAGCUGCAUUUGGUCUGUGUUUACAGAGAAGGAAUGGUUUCAUCCAGGGGAGGAGAAGGAUGAUGGGUGGCCGGCCUCGUCGAUCUGACAGGGAGGAUAGUGUGCGGCGGACAGUCUAUGUCUCUGACAUUGAUCAGCAUGUAAAUUCUUGAGAAUGAGCUAUCGUGUUUGGGUAUAUUUAGUUUUAUUUUUUUUCUUGAUCUGUUGAUCCCUUUGAUUUGCAGGUAACUGAACAGAAACUUGCUGAAGUUUUUUCAACCUGUGGACAGGUGUGUUCUAAGGUUCCUGAUAUUCAAUCUAGUUGCGAUCAUAUGAUUUUUAUUCGUCUAUAUUCUGAACACCACAAAUAAUGAAAUAUGAACAUCCUACCAUUUUUCUUACAUGUGCUUAGCUCAUUUGUAAGUUGUAUCUACUCUGUAAGCAUGUCUGGUGGGUGCUCAUGGUUAUGUGUGUGCUGGUUGGUCUUUGGCCCUUUGGACUUUAUGUUGAUUGCAUCCGAUGUUUGUAUUUUUUAGUAUCUGGUUUUGUGCUAGGAUGUAUGAACUUGUUAACAAGUUGGAUAUGACUGUAGUUUUGUUGAUCCUGAGUAAUGAAAUUUCGGUUCCCUCAGUAUGGGGGAAAACUGAUCACAACAUUUGUCUUUUGGGCUUAAAGAUUGCAGGGGGCACACUUAUUAUCUGGAAGUUUCAAAUACAUGGACAUUCUGUACCUUGUUAGAAUACUGGCACCUUUGCAUUAUAAAUAAGCUAUCAUGUGUACAAUUGAAAUCUUAGUCUGUAAUUUGUAGGAUAGGUGAACAAAGAACGAAUUUGCAAUAUAAUCUGUACACAUAUUUUCAAUUUUGAACUUAAUUAGGUGUCAUCUGGUCAUCUGGACUUAUAAUUCAGUUAAUUGCACACAAAAAAAUUAAAUCAGUUACUUGUUAUUUGUAACGGAUUCCCAUAAUUUUUAGGUUUGCCAUGUUUUCUUGAAUAGAUGCUAGCCAAAGGAUAAUGUCUCUUGCAGAAUUAAGAUCAACAUGGUCUAACCUUUUGAAUCAAUCAAAUACUUAAUGCUUUUCAUGGAAUUGCAGAUUUGUGCUUCUGGUAUACUUUUGUCAAGAAAGCAGGCAUCUAUUUUUUAUUCAUCUGAGAAAGUAGAAACCAAAAAUUCUCUCUUGGGUAACCAAUGGCCACUGAGCUUGUAAAUCCUGUGCGUAAUCAGCCCAUGAAAUGAUGAUGGUGAGGUCUCCUUGAGUGCUCAUGUAGACCAUAGUCUUUAGGCACGUUGUUUGCCCCCUUGCGCUCCCUGUGCUCAAAUCUAUUUGAUCCAACCAGGCAGCAACGCCUCCAGAUACUGAAGCUGCAGGUCCAGCCAAGCCAUUUUCCCGGGUUUUCUGUUUCAUUUGUUAUGCUUGGGUGUUGAGUUUUUUACCUGUGUGGCCACAUGGUCCUCCUGAUUGCCUGGUAUACUCCCUCCUUGUCUAGAAAGCAUCAAGUUGGUACACUAAUCAUCUACCUAAGAUUGGUUAGAAAUAUUAAGGAAAGAUGGAAGUUUGAGUUCAGAUUGAUAAGCAUGAAUGGUUCUUCCUUAGUCAAAAAAAGAAGAAUGAUUCUUCCUUUGGCAUUUCAAAAGGGACAGUGACAUCAAAUUGGGGUAUAUGGAUUAUAUUAUUUCACGAAACAUGAGUACUACCCAUAUGGAGAGUUAAAUCCAUAUAAUGUAAACAGGUAGCUUAAACAUGGUCGUUUCACUGCACGCUGUCCACUGCAGUUUCAAAAUGCUUCAUAAUGUGGGCAAUGUUCACUGCACCCUGUCCACUGCAGUUUCAAAAUGCUUCAUAAUGUGGGCAAUGUUGUGUGGUUACAUUUUAUCUCUCUAUGUUUGACUUGUUAUGACACAUCUUUUUCACAUGUAGGUGGUAGAUUGCCGUAUCUGUGGUGAUCCUAACUCAGUGCUCCGUUUUGCUUUUAUCGAGUUUGCUGAUGAUGGUAGUAGCUUUUGACACGCCAAUUGUUAUUUGAUAGUCUUAUGUCGGUGUAAGAAACAUUCCUUAAUGAAGCUGCUUUUUCUGCAGUUGGUGCACAAGCUGCACUAGCACUUGGUGGAACCGUGCUUGGCUUUUAUCCUGUCAAGGUUCUGCCAUCAAAGACCGCAAUUUUGCCUGUGAAUCCUAAAUUUCUUCCUCGAGUAAGUAGACAAAUAAAUUUACAUUAUCUGUUAAUCUUAAAUCUCUGUAAUAAAUGCAUUAUUUUUAUUUUCCUGCAGACUGAGGAUGAAAAAGAAAUGGUAUCCAGGACUGUGUAUUGUACUAACAUUGACAAGAAGGUAUGCUUUGUGCUAUAUCAUUUCUGUUUCCCUUUUAUUAUGGUAAUGUUAAUUGGUGAAAUGUGAAAAUAAAAGUCAUUCCAAAUGAUAAGGUCUCCUUUUGGGGCCUUCUAUUUUUUUUUUCUGCUCAAAUGCUAUAUAUAAUUAUUGUACUACAACUUAAGGCAGAUAUGUUUACAUAGAAACCAAGUUUUUUUUGGGUGUGUGCAAGGGUUCUUGCCCCUUUUCUCCUACAACUAAAAAGACUAAAGAAUGGACAAUUUUUGGUGCAACAAUCGACUUUGGUUCGUCCGUCUGCCGUGCGAUACCUUCCCCGCGCACUCCCUCGCUCCCCCAUGCGCGGUGGGCCUGGUCUUGCACAGUCCCCACGGAAUCCCCCUCUCUCAUGCGCCGCUCGUGGAGUCCUCGUCUCCCCUGACCCGCGCCGACUCCUCUUCUCCCCCACACGCUGAUGGAUUCCUCUCCGCCAUGCACCGAUGGCCACUAGGUCGCGCACGUCUAGGGCGAACACCCAGCCUGAUCCGACCACUGUGGCGAUGACGCACGCAGCCGAGCGCGACGCCACCACCUUGUCCCUGUCGCCGUCCCCGUCCCUCUCCACGCCGGCCCCUCACACCCUACGCCAGCUGGAUCCUCCGUCCACCCGCCGUGGCGCCGCGGCUCGACCGGUCGAGCGGAGCGGAGAUCCAUCCAUCCGGCCGUCGGUCGGUCUCGUCAUCUGUUAUUGGUGAGUGCCUUCUAGCUGCCUCGUUUGCCUGGAUAGAUAGAUUCUCGUUCAGAUUGUAGUUGAAUCCAAUCUCCCUAUUUUUUCUCCCUUCAUUGGUUCACAAUUCUAAUUACUUUCUGCUAUUGCACUAAGUCAGGAUCCUGCCUCGUAGAAAAAACAGUGGCUCCUAGAACUCUGGAUUUGCUGCAGCGUUACCAGAUCCAUCAUACUAUAGUAUUAGGCUACAAUACUUGCACAUGUAUCUUCUGAAAAAGGACGUAGACAUUGCUUUGAGAAUUAACGAAUUUGACAUUGCUUAAUCUAAUAAAGGUGACUAUGUUCUAAUGAAUAAUUUUUCUAAUUAUCUAAUAUACUGUUUUCUUACGAAACUGUCCUCAUAAUUUGUUUGGUAAAAAUUCGAUAAGUAGACUGACAUUAUCGUGCAAUCGGUGUGUCCAACUAAUAAUUUGUUUUUUUAUUAAAUUUCAUUUUAACACUAGUAUUUAAUUAUACAGUAUUGUUAUCGUGCAAUCGGUGUGUUUUUAAUAUAAAAGUUUAGUUGUCCCGUAGCAACGCACGGGCACGCUACCUAGUCUCUUCUUAAUAUAAAGGAGAAAAAAUUGUACUACAACUUAUUUUUGUGUGUAGAUUGGAGAAGAUGAAGUGAAGCAAUUCUUCGAGGGAACAUGUGGUGAAGUAUGUGAUCUCUAUGCUCUUAUUGUAGGCAUGUGUUCUUUUACAUGACUGAGUAUAAUAAUAAUCUAGAUACAUAAUUAUCUUCCUUUUCCUUUAGGUUUCUCGUCUGAGGCUACUUGGUGAUUAUGUGCACUCCACAUGCAUUGCCUUUGUUGAGUUUGUCCAAGUAAGUAAAAAUGGAACUUCAAAAUUUAAUAUAGUCUCAAAUAAAUCAAUUUCUAUAUCAGAGAUAAUGCCAAACACAGUAAAUGAACAACACAAACACUUUUUUAUGUAAACAUUCCCUGUUGGAAAGGUGAGAAAUGCAAUAUUUUGUUUGUAAAAUCGGCUAAUUGGCGAUUGCUUUCAUGCUUCAUAGCAAUUUCGUCAUUGAACUUAGCUUUUCCAUCCUUCCACAUCGUAUUUCCUUCAGACUGAUGAUUCACUCUCAAAUGCUUAGUAUUUACCUGAUUCAUAUUUGGAUCAUUUAUUUGCAUUGCAUCUGACAUCAUUGAUUAAGCAAUAAGCAAUAGUUAUCUUAUUAACUGAGGGCUAUUAGCAGUCAUUUGAAUUUUUCAUUUCUGUUUUGGGUGGCAAGUUUCAAGAGUUUCUACUGUAUUAGAAAGCUUCUUGUACAUUAUUAUCAUGUAGAACUGAUGUCAAGCUGUAAGGACUUUUUGUUUCCUAACAGACAAAGUAAGGUCAAUUACUGAUUCACACCACAAGCAAUCGUAGCUGUAUCCACCGACACCUUUCUCCUGGCUUCAUCUGCAUCUCAUCUUCCUACUGCUUUUAUUCUAUGUCAGCUGCCAGUCUUCUAGAAACUUGUUACUCCCUCUUACAAAUUUGUCCAUGGCUUCAGGGAUAUAUGUUCCAGAAGAUUUCUCCAUUGAGAUCAAGACUAUAGUUAUAUCUAUGUUUUCAUUAUCUAACUCUAAUCUAAUAAAAUGCUUUGAAAGAAGUUAAGUACUUCUGUCAUAUUAUUCGUUAGGGAUAUAGAUGGUCAUUUUACUUCAAUAUUUUUCUUUCUGGAAAUGGCACAUCCUUGGUGGCUAUGGAUGAGUAUUGUAGAACAGAGGGAUUAUUUUACAUCCUCUUACACGGCACACAUAACCAUAUGUGUUCACGUUACUUGGAUCAUUUAUGCUUCUCAGUCUUGAGUCCUAAUUGUUAUAACAUAGAUACUUCAAAUGACAAUGUCAUUUUUUGGGCGUAGUUUCGGGUUUUUGAAAACAUACUGAUAUAAUACAUGCGCCUGUAAGGUCAGCAAGUUGUGGGCAAUUUUGUGGUUUAUGUUGGGCGACGACCUGUCAGCAGCAAACAAGCACCCAGUAACCUUGAACUUUCAAGUAUGAAACUUAUAAGAACAUACUUUCAACUGAAACAUUUGUGUUUUAGCGAAUUUCGGUCACCAUGUCGCAAAGCAAUUAACUUCCAAGUAGUACCGAAACAAACUUGGGCUUCAUUAAUGUUUAUGAUAUCUGUAGUGAUCCAAAAUGGAGCUGUCAGUUACUUCGCAUGCAGAGAAUAGAAAUGUAUACCUGUAUAUGUAAUGUAAUUUUAACAUGUCAUAUCCUGAAGUUAAAUAAUACAUGCAGUUCGACUGGUUACUCAAUGAGUCAUAUCUCAACCAGUUGUCUGUGAAUGGUGUCUCCACAAAGUAUUUAUUAAAAUUGUUAAACUGCAUGCAUCCAAAAGCACCCUUUAUAUUUUAGUGUCCCCUGAGGUGCACAAGCACAACACUAGUCAGGCAGCUCUGCCUAAUCUAGCAAUCUCCAAUAGGUGAUCAGGCAGGCGGCAGGCCUGGCCUUAUCUGGUAAUGUUGUGUACUUGUGUUGACUAGGAAUUAUCUGCUGACACCUUGGGCAAUUAAUUCCUUAUUGAAGUAAUAGUUUCAUUAGAUAAACACAAUUUAUCUCAAUGACUUUUUCUGACAAGAGUUUCUUUCUUUGACACCUGCAUCUGCAUUUCUCUCGGCUUCUAGCACCACUUCUAUUUUUGUUUCCUUUUAAUGAUAUGAAACCAAUAUCUUUGAAUUGAUGAAAUGUUUAGUUGCCUGACGAUUUGUUCCUUUUUAGAGCUUGACCAUUUAAAAUUCUGUUUAUGCAGGCAGAUAGUGCUAUUCUUGCUCUGAACUGCAGUGGCAUUGUUCUUGGAACGCUUCCUGUUAGGCAAGAACAUAUUUUCUGCAUGUGUUCGAAAGUUCUGACUAUGGUAAAGGUGUCUGUUGCCCAUUUUUUGCUUACCCUACUCUGUACCGUUGAUUUUUGCAGGGUGAGCCCAUCAAAGACACCAGUCCGCCCUCGAUCGCCCCGUGUGACGUCAUACUGAGUUCGGCUCAUCUGAAGCCGUCGUCCAGGGCAGCAAAUUUCUGGGCAGCAAAGCCUUAGUCGUGUGGCCUUAGAGACUGUCGUUUCGCGGAUCAGUAAUUGUUGUUGAGCAGAGUUCUCGUUGGUUAAAAUCUAGUCUAGUAGAAGGCCCCUCAGCUGAUGUUUCUCGGAUCAGAGACCCACCAUCUGUAUGGUCGCUGAUGGGAGAUCUAUUUUGACCUCCUUUUUUUUUGGUCUUUGUUAUCAUGGUUGGAUUCUAUGACAGCCUUGACAGUCAUUCGAACAAUAAUGUCUAUGGCUUCUCUUAUCCGCUUUCGUCUUUAAGCAUGUUUUCCCAAUGACUGUUGUGCACAAAUGCUGUUACUGCUCCGAGGCGGAACUGUCUCAGGAGUCAGGAUAGGCCUGAGGCACUCGCCCUGUAACAGCAUUUCUAAUAUAUGCAUAAUCUUUGAUUUAGAGGGAAGUCGGUGUAUAUAGUCCAUGAUUAGUGGUGCAAUUAUUAUAGAUAUAAACGUUAUUUCCGUGUGGAAGUGGGAGGUGCUUUCCUUAUUUGUUUCGUUAGAUCUGGAAGACGGACGACCACUUCUCUUUUACCAUCUCGUGGUUCGCAUCUUUGAUACUAACAAGUACUGUUAAAAUUGAGCGCGUUGAGCAAGCUUGCGCGUUGAGCUAUAAUUAAUUUAACAAUACUCGAAUUUUGCACUUAAGAUCGUAAUUGGCUAAUUGGAUAUUUGCGAUCAGAUGGGAAUAACCAAGCUUUAUUUUCCAAUGAGGCUUUGUUUGUAGGAUGCCUUGUUUGUGUUGAAAUAUAAAAUGGUUUGCUCACUUUUCAUUUCAUUUUAAAUUUUUGUUUUUGGUUAAACUAAUCUGUGCAUGUAACUUGAUAUACUACUUGAUACAGAUGUUUUGAGUUCGAAUUUUAGCUAGCAUAAUUAAAUAUAGUUGUUGGUCGUCUCUAUUUUACAACUAUGAUCUUAUGGAGCCUCCACGUAAGAUGAAGUAUGAUCUUAUGAAGUUAAUGUUCAUUUUUUGUACCCGCUUAAAUUUUUUCAUCAUAUUGACCGGUGAUUAAAACCUUUCUUUAAUUAAUUUUGCAGACCAUAAUAUUUCGUUUGAACGGAUCAAAUAGAGAGACCGGUUGCCGCACCAUUUAAUGCCCGUUCGUUUAAAUUACCGAAUGUACUAGUCAUUAUUCUUCUAUCGUAACAAAUCAGUUAGAUAUAAUUUUUUAAAAAAAUUUUAACACUGUAGCAUUUUCAUUUUUAUUUGACAAACAUUAUCCAAUCAUGGAGUAACUAGGCUUAAAAGAUUCGUAUCAUUAUUUACCCGUACACUGUGCAAUUAGUUACGUAAGAUUCGAUGUGACGGUGAAUCUUAUAAAGUUUUGGGUUUUUGACCUAAAUAUGCUUUUUGAACGAGCUGAGGCCGGUUGCAAACUCUAGCAGCGGAAAAAAGAAAACUCUGCACCUUCGGUAGCUCGGAGAAGCGUCACCUACUCCGCUUUCUGAGCAACAAUCGUGAUUAGACGAUCCGUAGUGUACCUACCUAUAUACAGAAAGCAAAGGAACAGAAGCACGCGGACCGUGGCGCUGUCACCUUGCGUCACGCGGCACCAGCCACAGGCCACAGCGACCCCAUCGACAUCCAUCGAUCACCCAUGGCCUCCUCGCUCCGCCAUUUCGCCGGCCUCGGCUGUUUCCCCGCCGUGGCCUCUACCUCUGGCUCCACCUGCUGCCUGCGCCGCUACACCCCAAACUUCUGCGCCUUCGUGGCGCUCCGUCCGAUCAGCCCGCCCGCCGCCACCGCCACGGCGACUGCCAAGGCCCUCACCUCUCCGUCUCCGGUGGAGCAGCACCUACAGGCCGUCGUCCCGUGCCACGGCAUCAGCGACCCGCCGGCGGCGUCAUCGGCAGCAGCGGUCCCGGCGGCGCCGCUGCGGGUGGGGAUCGUCGGGUUCGGCAACUUCGGGCAGUUCAUCGCGGGCGGGCUGCAGCGGCAGGGCCACGUCGUGCUGGCGGCUUCCAGAUCCGACUACUCCGUCUACUGCGCCAGCCAUGGCAUUCGCUUCUUCAGGAGCGUCGACGCGCUGUGCGAGGAGCAGCCGGACGUGCUGCUCAUCUGCAGCUCCAUCCUGUCCACGGAGGGCGUCGUCCGAGCCAUCCCCUUCCGCAAGCUCCGCCACGACACCAUCGUCGCCGACGUGCUCUCCGUCAAGGAGUUCCCUCGCAACCUCCUCCUCGAGGUAACCAAUCAAGGCCUUGUUUAGUUCACACUUAAAACCAAAAAAUUUUCAAGAUUCUCGGUCACAUCGAAUUUUGUGGCACAUAUAUGAAACAUUAAAUAUAGAUAAAAACAAAAACUAAUUACACAAUUUAGCUGUAAAUCACGAGACGAAACUUUUGAUCCUAGUUAGUUCAUGAUUAUAUAAUAUUUGUCACAAACAAACGAAAGUGCUACAGUACCGAAAACUUUUCACUUUUCGGAAGUAAACAAGGCCCAAAACACUCUAAUUACCGGUACGGCAUUAACGAGGCUUUUCAAUUUUUCAACACCCACCUACCGUUCCCGAUCAAUAAUCAAUAAUGCACCUGCUCCUGCUGACGGUUGGCAGCUGAGCUGAUGUUGGUGAACGACAGAGAAUACUAUGCGGCCGUUUGGAUCGCAGCCUGUGAAUAGUAUUUUUUUUAAAGAAUAAUGGCUAAUGAGAUGUAUCCACCAAUAAACCUAUUAGCUUUUAUUAGCCCAUAUUUAACAUUUCUAGGACAUCGUCCUGGAAUAUAAGAGUCAAUAUUUUUAAGACGACUGGUGGUGUCUUGAUUGAUGUUAGGGGAUCGUCCAGAACAAUUAGUCGUCGUCCAGGACGAUUAAUCGACCCUGGACGAGUCUCCUGGUUGUCCUGGUCAUCUCCUACGUAUGAAGACCGAUAUAUACCAUAUGUAUUAUGUAGUUAUCACAUUCUAGAGUCUAGAUAGGUCAGGACAGGUAGAACAUCAAGCUUGAACGAGGAGGUGAUGAGUGACCUGAGGAGGAUGAGCUCAUCUUUGUAGUCCUCCUCCCUUGCACAGUUGGACCUGUGCCACCUGCUGGAUGUGCAGGUCUAUACACUUGCAGCAGCAGCCGCAAGGAAGAGAGGGAAGAAAGCUGAGAGGAACUGAGGAAGGGAGGGAGGAGCAGCUAGGAACCGAAAGGGAGGAGAGGAGAGAAGCAAUGGAGGUGGCUGCUGCGGGACAGGAGAGGUGAGAGGAGUAUGUUCCGCUGAAAUGAGUGAGUGAGGGGUAAGAAACAACAUAAAUUUUAAUAGGCUUGGGCCAAAAUUUAAGGCAACUAGCUAGGUUCAACUCUGAGAUGCAGUCCACCUAUUGACUGGACGCCCAAACAACUUGGACGGACGAUUAAUCGCGAUUGGACGACGACUAAUCAGACGACUAGUUUCCUGGUUGGUCUGGCCGAGUCAGAGACCCUGGUCGAGUAGCUCCAACUAUCCAAGACGAUUAGUCGUGAUUAAUUGUACAAUAGUUUAUAGUCAAAAUAAUGCUGAUGCGAAUGAGUAAAGAGAUGAGAGAAAUGAGAGCUUGGCUCCUAUGCAAACACAACAGGGCAUGAAGCAUACAUGUUUAUGGGCCCAAGUAGGCUAUCAAAGCAUAUGUAUUUGUGGGUCCAAGUAACAAGCGUUUUGAGAAGGAAUAGGAGAGAGAGACUUUUUCACACUUAUUGUAUAACUUAGCUCUUAUAACUUGUCUUAUAGCCAAGUAAAUUGGCUCUAUUGUUGAUCUUGUUCUAAGGCUUAAAGGUAGAGACUAACGCAGUGGCAGACCUAGAAUUUUAAUACAGGGUAUGUCGCACACAAAAAAUUUUUAUGUAAUUUGGUAAAACCAUUUUAUUCAGUAAAAAUUCUAUCAUUAAAUUUUAUUAAAAAAACUGACAUGAUAAUACUAAUGUUCGACGAACCAUGAACCAAUCUCUAACCACCGAUCUCGCUAAUAUUCCCGAUGCAUAACUAAUGUUGGAGUGCAUAAUUCGUAAAGCUGACACGACACUAUAUAUAUAGCUAUCAAUUUUCAUGCCAUGCAUAACUACAAAUUUUCAUGCUAUACAUAGCUAUAGAUUUCCAUUCCAAAUAUGUCACAGGACACAAUAAAAUGAAAUGGGAUGAAAACAAUUGGAAAAUAAAGGAUAAAAAUACAACACAAAAACUAAAAAAAUAUAUUAUCUAUGGUUAGUUUUUGAAAGGGACAUAAAAAGUUAGCUUUUAAAGGGAACAUAAAAUAUAAAAAUAAAACAAAAAUUGGAAGAAAAAAAAGAUAAAAACAGAACACAAAAACUAAAGAAAAAAAAUGAUCUACAGUUAGUUUUUGAAGCGAACAUAUAAAAAGUUAGUUUUUAAAAGGAACAUAAAAAUAUAGAAAAUUUAAAGGAACAUAAAAAUAUAGAAAAUUAAAAAAAAACAUAGAUGCGGAUAUUUGAGCCAGGGAUCUCUUGGUUAAAAAGCAAAUAGGCCAUUGGGCUAUAAAGACAUAUCAUCAAAAUAUUUAGUUUCAAACAAUUUUGUUAUAUACAUAGUAGUUCAUAGCUGCUCCACUGGGUAUGCCAUGGCCCAUCUGGCAUACCCUGUGGCUCCGCUCCUAACGGAAGUUUUUAUCUCUGCUAAUUAUCUUGCCAGCCAAAAAAAAAGCUUAUGCCCUAUUUAGUUUCUUACCCAAAAACUUUUUAUCCAUCACAUUGAAUCUUUGGACACAUACAUAUAGCAUUAAAUAUAGGAAAAAAAUUAAUUGCACAAUUUGGUUGUAAAUUACGAGACGAAUCUUUUAAGUCUAAUUGAUUAGCCAUAAUUACUACAGUAACCAACAUAUGCUAAUAAUGGAUUAAUUAGGCUUAAUAAAUUCGUCUCGUAGUUUCCAAGCGAGUUAUGCAAUUUGUUUUAGCAACUCCAACAGUUUGCUAAAACUCACUUGACAAAUCUAUAGUUUUGUCAAGUCUCAAAACCAAAUACCAAAUGAAAAAAGAGGCCUUCUCCAACAGUUUGCUAUUUGAACUUGGCAAAAGAAAUUGGUAUCCUAGAACUUUUGCCAAAAUCAUAAAAUUAAGCCUUAAACAAGUUGGCAAAACUGGUUUGCAAAUUGGGAUACACGUAAUGCCAAACGACGGAGGACUUGGCAUAUUUACCAAAUGAAGGGGGAAUUUUGCCAAGCUCACAAAAUCCUAGCAUGCCAAGUAUUUUUAGCAAACUGUUAGAGUUGCUUAGUAUCAAAAAUCUCACUCGACAUCGGCAUAUCUAAUAUAAUAUCAAAAAAUUUUCUUUUUGUGAAAAACAAUCCUUGGUUGAGAAACUACGUUACUCGUGAAAGUAGGCGUGUUUUCGCGUAGGGAGUAAACGAGCGGUUUCUACGGGUAGGGCGUCGCCGUUCAUGAAGACUUCACAGGCAGUAUCGCCGACGCGUAGGCUGCCACACCGCGAACGCACCUCCCUGCCGUGCCUCCCGUGCCCGCAAUGAACGCACCACCGCGCCAUGCAGGCCAAGGCUCCACGCCGCCGUCGCUCUUGCACCAGCCAUGUCUCCGCGCCCAGGAUUGUCGAGCCUCCGUGCCUCUGCCCAUCCGCGCUCGUCGUUUGCCCCUGCCUCACCGGUGACCAGCAGCCUCCCUUCCCUUCCUCUGGCACUCAGAAAAGAGAAAAGAAAAGCAACAUUUAUUAUGCGAAGACACAUAAAUGUACUUACUAUUUCUUGUUUAUUUGACAAAAUAGAAAAUAGUCACUCCAACAGUUUGGUAAAUGGGUUGCCAUCUUUUGGUAACUUACCAUCCAGCAGCACCGCGCGCCCAUAUUUAUCAACUUGCUAUCCAGCAGAUUAGUUGAUUUGGUUGUUAGUUGUGGGUCUUUUUUUUUAAGUUUAUCAAGCCCAAUUGACAAACUGUUGGACAUAGAAGAAAAUCUCACUUGCUAUAUGUUUUAGCAACUUGCCAAAUCACAAAAUUUGGCAAGUGAGUUUUACCAAACUGUUGGAGAUUACCCAGCACUAGAACAGAUCUUACCAUAUACUACGAUUCAAAGACCAAGAAAUAUAUUUAAUUCUUUAUCUUAGCAUUAGUAUUUAUGAGACUUAAACAAAAAGUAGUUACCGCUUAUAUAUUAAGACGGAGUGAGUGUUUGUCAUACAAAACUCAACUAAUUUUUAGCUCUAUGUAUCAACACCCCUACGCCUAUUCCGUGGUCCAGAAUUCGUUACUUCAUUUUCUCUGAAUUUACUUGAUUUUCUCUGAAUUUCUGACAAAGACGUUACCCUUAUGUUAGACUUACCAACUGUACUUACAAGGAAUGGUGCAUUGCCGUGUGUGGAAUCUAGAAUGAGGAUUGCUGAUACACUGAUACAUUGCCAAUCUGUCAGGUUCUCCCACCGGGAUUUGGGAUCAUCUGUACGCACCCCAUGUUUGGGCCGGAGAGUGGUAAACACGGCUGGGGCAAGCUUCCCUUCGUCUUUGACAAGGUCCGUGUCGCGGAAGACGGGGAUCAGGCAGCAAAGUGCGACCAGUUCUUGAGCAUAUUUGAACAGGAGGUAAUUCUACCGGGACUUUUGAUCUCUUUGUUUUGAUGUUCAUUCACAGUGGACCAUUUUUGGGAGUAACCUUUGGUCACAACAACUGACUGACUAGAGUUACUCAACAUGUGGAUUUUUUGUGUGUGUUUCAUUUUGUUCUAAACGAUGUUUGUAGGGAUGUAGGAUGGUGGAGAUGUCAUGCGCGGAGCAUGAUCGCUACGCUGCGGGAAGUCAAUUCAUCACGCACACAAUUGGGAGGUCAGCAAACAUUGCAUAUCUGGAAUGUUUUUACAGUUAUUUAUUACACCAAAUUGUUUCCUGUAUCUGCCUGCUUAGCUUCAUGCUAUGAAUAACUCGCGUUGUUUGGUGCAGGGUUUUAUCACAACUGAACCUCAAGUCAACGCCAAUCAACACCAAGGGUUAUGAAACCUUGCUGCAACUUGUAAGUGGUGAAUAAUGGCAUGGUCUUGUCCGUUCUUGAUUGCUGAGACGAGGGGCUCUUAUCGCCUACUACGAACUUGCAGACCAAGAACACCGUAAGCGACAGUUUCGAUCUGUACUAUGGGCUCUUCAUGUACAAUGUCAAUGCCACAGAGCAGGCAAGUGCUCUGCACUCUUCAUAUGCUGUGCUAUCGCUAUCAUCCCCUCAACACAUCAUGCAUUAGUUGCAUAUAAUAAGCUAGUUUUGGUUAGCCUGUGGGUCAGCGAUUGCUGUAAUGCAUAUAGUGCUAUUGUUUGUUAACAGUACAUAUGCCUAAAAUUAAGCUCAACCAUCAGCCUAAUUUUUCACUACUUCACGCGCAGCUCGACAAACUGGAAAUGGCAUUUGAGAAGGUGAGACAGAUGCUGUCUGGCAGGCUCCACGACUUCAUACGAAAGCAGAUUGUGGAGAGGGCAGCCCAUGUGCCAGCAGAUCCUUCAGGAAAAUUGGCAAAUGGUUUGUCCAGUUCUCCUGCAGCUCGCCUCUUAUAGACAGUAACUGAAGAAAAUAAGACACAUGUAUUGUUUCCUACACUUCAACCGGAUACUUCCCAAAUCCCCAUUUGUACAUCUUCCUAACUAUUACUUCGUCCCAAAUCCCCAUUGGCAAAUAGUUUAGAUGUUGGUGGAUUUUUCUGCAGAUUUGAUCAUCAAAGAUAAAAGGUGUUUAAUUUAGAACAAAAACCAAAGUGAAACAUAAUUUAAAACAGUUAAGAGUAUGUUGUUGUAAGUGUGCAGUUUCCAUAGUUAUUAUUAUUGACUAGACCAAGAGUAUAAGGAUACUGCUCUCCAUUUUGUUCCAGAUCUCUCACCUCACUUCGAGGCUGUUUGCUUGCUAACAAUUCUAUAAAAAAGAUCAAUAACACCAAAUAAGUAUAUUAUAAACAUAUAGUUUAUGAUGUUAUUAUUGACAUAUGGAAAUUAUUACUAUGUUUAAAAAUCUACAAUUGGAACUUAAGAUCCAAUAAUCCGCUGUCCUCUGUUUAUUACCUUAAAUAGUAGUAACUACUAGGUUACUAAACACAGAUACAUGGCAACUAUAUGUGCAUGUAGCAUUGUAUCACCAUAAAUGUAUACUUCAUCUUAAUGUCAUUUUUUCUCUAAGGCACUAUUAUACUAGGUCUUUAAUAGACAUAAUUUAAAAUCUGGCUUAUCAUAUACGAUAUAGGAUGACUACGAUCCUGAUAUCCUUUCUAAAAUCUUGCAACCUGCCUGGAAUCGGAUCGGGCUCUCCUUCCAUAAGGGUUUGACGGGCCAAUCCCAUGCUUCUUUCCACUGUCAACUUUCCUCAUCUUUCGGUGUUUAGAUGCACCGCUCUCCAGGUCCAGAUUGACUUUAGGAGGGUUCUUAAAACAGAAUGAUGCCGCAACUUUCUGAAAGAAAUAAAGAAAUUAGAAAGAGUAUUACCUCAUCCUCGCAGCCCCACCAAAAAUAGGUAACAGACAGACAAUUUGUAUUUGCAUUAAUUGUCCUACUUGACUAUGUAAGAUUUUGCAAAUUAAACAAAAUAGCCAGAGUAGAGAUAUAUGCACACAGACCAAGGACAGCCUUAGGAAAGAACUUCACAAGUAUGUACCGUGAGAUCAAGUUGAUGGACGUCAAAAAUGUCUUUCAUAGAAUGUGAGUUGUAUGCCAAAAGGUAGGACCUAUAGGCUUCCUUUGCUGACUGAUUUAGAAAGUAAUUCCCACCAACAAUGUUCUCCUGCUCCAAAACUCAAGUUAAAUACUUCACAUUGGAACAACAAGAUUGAACUGCGAAAGACACUCACAAGUUGCGAUUGCGAUUUAGGCACAUGCUUCUCACUGAACACAUAUUGAGUCAGAGAAAUAUUGGCCGCCUGCAAUAUGUUACUUCCUCAAUCCAAUUAUGUGGAAUAUCAUAAUCGGAGAUGUAAAAAUCAUAAAAAAAAUGCUUUAACAUAUAAAAUGAGACAACAAUAUCCAUAUUUCAGAGUACUUCCCAACACACUAUAUUGACUUUGUAUCCAGACAUGCUAAAGAAAAAAAAUGAUCACAUUAAAGUUAAAAACAGUGCCACAUACACUUCGAGGUUCCUCUUAAUAUAAGAGGGAGAAGGGAGGAGGGAUGGGAAGCACAUUACCUGCAGAUAAAUAAGCAACUUCAAUUCUUCCGGUAGUAAGAACAAUAAUGCACUUCCUUUGCCUUCAUCACCUCGGGCAGUACGACCAACCCUGUGGAUGUAAUCCUACAGAUUAAAUUCCAAUGCCAAGUUAGAAAAUUUGAUAAAAAUAGAUAAUUAAUUAGGAAAGUUCAGGACGACUUACCUUUGGGUCAUCUGGAGGAUCAUAUUGCACAAUAUAGUCCUAAACCAGACAAGCGGUCCUUAGGUUAGCGAGGGGUACAGAAAGGAUUGGUACAAAUGAUUUAAAAACGCAGGCCAAAACCUUACCACAUCAGGAAUAUCAAGUCCACGUGCUGCCACGUUUGUGCAUAAUAAGAUGCCCCUUUUCUCCUUCAAAAAUCGGAAGAAUGUACUAGUUCGCUUCUGUUGCUUCAGCUGCCCAUGAAUAUCAUAACACUCUAUCCCAAAGAAAUUUAGAAGUUCUGCAUGGAACUUGACUGAGCUACAUGACGAAAAGAACACCAUGAUCUUCACACCCUGCUCCCUAAGCUGCAUCCUUCUUAGGAAAGCAUACAGAACCAGAAAUCUUUUCUCACUUGGAAUGACACAAUAACCCUGCUGCAAGCCCUCAACUGUAGGCUGUAAGAGCAUGAAAGUUAUUUCUCAUACCAAAUAGAUAAAAAUUCUUUAAAAUAGAGUUGAACAAAAUUGUGAAAUAGUUCCAUACCUUCAAUUUAGAAUCAUCAACUCCAACAUAAACAAGUUUCCUUUGUCUUUCUUCAUUCUGUCCAAAUGUAAAAUUCGCAAAAUCUACAACCUGUGGGAUCAAAACACAUAAACAAUGGCACUGACAAAAAAAAGGGGACGAGAUUUUGAAUAUGCUAACAAACAGAUCCACUGACCUUUUGAGUCUGCGGGGCAGAAAAAAGAACAGUUUGCCUAUCCUGCAUAUGAUGCAUAACAAUUUGAGGACAAAAAUACAGCAAUCUCAGUACAAAAUUUAAAACGCUAACUUCACAUAUGAAAUGAACUUGUCAGACUAUCACAUACCGAAGGGAGUCGUUUAAAUAUUUGUUUCAUAUCCUCCUCAAAAUUUUGCUCAAGUAUGCGAUCAGCUUCAUCAAUUAUGAGGCACUACAACAUAGCAAGUCAUGUUAAAGAUAGAGUACAUAUAGGUCAGGAAUUACAUCCAUUGCCUUAAACAUGAGUUUUCAUGAAAAUCAAUGUCAUUUUCCUGCUAAACAGGUGGCACAUGAGCCACUGAACCUUAACUUGCCCAUGGGGCAGCCCAGCACAGUAGGCAUAUUCCAUUGCCAAGGUAUGAGUAGACAGCACAAUGCAUUACAUCCCUGCCCAAAAAUGUAUUUACUGGUGGGCAAUUAGAUAUUCCUUUCAUCUGAAAAUGGAAUUUAAUAUUGGCGACAGAUAUGGAAAAAAGCUUUUAUCUACAGAUUUUUUUUUUUUGAAAAUGCAGGAGAGCUGCGCUUCAUUAUAUUAGAGAAGAAAAUAGUCCCCAAACAGCCCACUUAUCUCGUACGGGGACUUUUAUCUGCAGAAUAACAAACAACAAUACAUCCGAUGGACUUGCCAACCCACAUAACAUUCCUAACAAUGGAUCAAUAACUUUAUAAAGAAUAUAAACCAUUAGGUUUUAUGAUUUUGCAUGUACUUUGGCAUAAUGUAUGCAGAAAUUUCAUUUAUACUCUAAUUCAGUAUUAAGAAGCCAGUACUGGACAAUGAAAAGAUAGAAAAACACAGAUCUGAUAUAUGAAACAAAUCAGGUGACUGAUUAUGCAUGUAGAGUAGCGAAGUAUGAGAUUGCUGGUUGUAUUUGUUAUUUAGCUUGAUAAUUAGAAUAUGCACACUAUUUCAACAGAAAUAUUUUCCUUGAAGCUUGGAAAAAAAUGAUAAUAACAAGAAUGCUUUACCUGUAGCCUUUUAUAGUGGAAACCACUGGUACUUCGCAGAUGGUCCAAAAGUCUGCCUGGUGUAGCAACUAACAGAUUGAUCCCUUUCACAAUUUGGUUGGCCUCAUUUCUUAUGUUAGUGCCACCAAUAACAUAUCCAAUAGUUUGUGAGUGAUACUUCAUUAAUUCCUUGGCAACAUUGUGUGUCUAGCACAAAAGAAUCAAUGAAACUCAUAAGUCAUAGUUAUUAGGGAUAGUGAAAUGUGAGUCCCUAUGAACAAAGUCUCGGCAACCAUCCAACAUGAAGAUACACUAUAUAAAACUGACUCCAAUGCAUUAUAUUUGCACAAGCAUUACCUUAGCAAAGGAUAUGCUUACCUCAGUUUGGUCCAUCUGAUUUUGAUUGGGUUUCAUUCAAUGCAAGUUGAAGAGUCACAAAACAUGUAAAAUGGAAUUAAAGAGAAAUACUGUUGCGUCAUAUGCAUAUAUAUUACCUGGAUAGCAAGCUCCCUUGUUGGGCAAACUACAAUAACUCCAGUUCCGUUCCUUGGCGUGAAGCAUGCUUUGUGCAGCAGUUCGAUCGCCGGUAUAAGGAAGGCAAGGGUCUUCCCUGAGCCAGUUUUGGCUGAUCCCAGCACAUCACUUCCUAGCAUAAGAUGCGGUAUUGAUCUAGCUUGAAUCUGCAAGGAAAAGAAACAUGCAUACAUGCCAUUUACAGUAAUACAAAAAAUCCAACAGCUAGCGCAGCAAAGAGCAGAUCAAAUCAACCCACAUAAUGCAAUAAUCAACCGCAGAAGCAUUCAAUCAACUAGCUGUAAUUAUGAAAUUGGACAAAAAUUUAGGUGUCGGCGAGAAUUAAUGACCUCGGUAAGGUGGGUGUAGUUCAUCUCUGUGAUGGCCUUGGCAGUGAACUCGGAUAUGUAGAGCUCUGAGAAAGUUUUGUUAGUUAGAAUUCCUCCUGCAUUACCCUUGUUCACCUUUUCUUCUUCUUCUUUAUUCUCGUUCUUCCCCUGCUCCAUCCCUAUCUCAUCCUCCUUCCGCUUCCGCUUCCCCUUACCUUUCUCCUUUUCAUCUUUCUUCUUCUCCUUGCCCAUCCCCUCCCUCCCAUUCCCCUCCCCUUUCCCCUUCUCCUCAUCCCCAUCCCCAUCGCAGGUGGCGUCGUGGAUCGACUCUCCCGACUCUGGCGGAGCAACGGGGUUCUUCAACGGCUGGGCCAAGUGGCUACAGGGGCCGCUCAGGUACAUGGCGGCGCCGGGGGCUGCUGAAGGUUGGUGAGGAGGGCUCACUCCGGCUAAAUUCGAAUCGUACAUAUAAUAGCGGCGGCGGUGGCGGCGGCGGAGGCGGUGGUGGUGGCGGCUGCUAGAGCGGCAGAAUGUAGGUAUUAGUGCACGUACACGUGCACCAGAGCGUUUCACGGGGGCGCAGACGUCCACGCGUGGGCCGUGCCGCCGUGCCGAGGACCUACUUGUUGUAAUUUAGAGUACUGUAAUGUUGUACUUGUACAAACAAGACUGUAUUGUACAUUUGUAUAUAUACAUGUAUACAAGAUACAGGGAACACACACACCCAGACACAACGAGAGGCCCGAUGAUCAAUCAGACACCAGCGGAACAACUACCGCACCGAUCUCGUGGAGUCAUGGAGGAGGAUCGAUGACUACAUGAUCGAGCAAGCAGCACUCGGGUUCUCGUCACUGAAGUAGUUCCGCACGGCGGCUGGCACUACUUCGCCGGGCUGCUCCUGCUCCUGGUAGUUCCCGUAGAGCUCCGAGUCGUAGUACCCGUGGACAUGGUAGUUGUAGGAGGAGCUGGCCUUGGCCUGAGGGUACAGCUGCGCCACCGCCGGCUUCCUGCCCACCGCCGCCGCCGAGCCGCCGCCGCUGCUGUUCUUGCCGGCGCGCGGGACGCUGCUGUAGUAGUAGUGGUGCUGCUGCGGCUGCGCAUGCGCGGGCUUGGCCUGGUGGUACAGCUGGUACUGGUACUGGUAGUAGGAGGCCGCCGGCUGCGCGUGGGCUUGGUGGUGGUAAUACGCCGGGUUGUAGUUGUAGGCGGAAGCGGAACCGGAGGGCCACAGCACGGCGAGCCUUCCCGUGCGCCGCGCCGCCCGGAGCGCCUUCUUCUGGCUCACCGAUCCCGUCACCGUCACCUUGCCGUGCAUCCUGUCUAUGCUUACGUGGUGCACUCCUGGAGAGGAGGAGGAGGAGGAGGAGGAGGAAGAGGAGAAUCAUAUCGAGCAGUUCUUUGCGUGUGUGAUCAUGAGACAUUUUCGUACGACAUACAUAUACAUAUACGCACCUUCGAGCUUUUCCAGGGCUCUCCUGACCUUGCCCUCGCAGCCGUCGCAGUCGAUGUUCACAUGCAUCUCUACGAUCUGCAAAGACACGACACGACGAUCGAUGCAUGGUUUAGUUUCAGAGACGAGGGAUAUGCAUGAGAGCACUAGAACACAAACAUGCAUCAUCCAUCAAAAGUCUGAGUCAAAUUAAUUGGCCAAGCAGUGAUUUGUGUUAGAGCGAAGAGUGACUCAAGCUUACCGUCAUGGUUCCUCGGACAGACGACGGUAAAGAAGAUUCACUCUGGGGAGUUCACUAGGACAGUGUGUAGUGCAGUGUGUGGUGUAUAUAUGCACAAGAAUCACUACCGGAGAUGCAGCAGGAGAGAAGACAUGCAUUGUGUAUUUGAGGAUAUCAAGUCACGGUGCCAAGUACCAAGUAUAUUGCCGGCUAUUUUGUUUUCUCUCUUUUUUUUAUGGAAACGACGCGGACAAACAGUCCCCACCUGAUGUAUUGCCGGCUAAUAAUUUCUUUGUUCCUGUAGCCCAUUGCGCUCAUUUAAUUUGCCUUGACGUCGCUGGCAGUGCCUAUCCCAGUAUUUCUUCCCUACAUACGAAUGCCAUGGAAGUUGCGUGCCAUCACUUAAGAAGAUGCUUCGGUCAUGGACAACGACCGGCUAAGUAAACUAUAUGCUGAAUCAACGCAGCUGGGAUUGCGUACGUUGUGUAAGAUAUAUAGAUACAUAUGCAAAUUGAGCAAGUAGGCAGACACAACUAUCAGGUCGCUGUUUCUGCGAUGGGCAACCAACGUACGGGAGAGCUUCAUUUUUUUAAUUUAUAAGUUAAUUUAAUUAGAAUUGUUAUCUGGCCAAGUCUAGAUUAUAUUGAACGUUAUUAGGUUCACCAUCCAAUAUCUAUGUAAGCCUUUUAGGUGUAAUGUAACUUAAUUGGUUGGGCCGGGUUUCUUUGUCGAAGCUGCCCAAUUGGGUUCAAUUUCCAAAUUUGGAAUGGGUACUUGUGCUUUUCUUGAUCUUUUUUUAAAAGGAUAUAUAUAAUGGAUGAUUUUUUUUUCAAGAAACAAAACUGUUAACUCACUCUUUUUGUUCUAUCCUUUUGGAUGGCUUUUGGUUUUUCUAGUAGCAAAAGCACUUUUAUUUGAAAGCCCAACCAAACACACAGUGAUAGUUGCAUUUUUCUUUAUUUAUCUUAGAAAAGGGUAGGAAUGGGUGAUGUUUCCGGAAACAAAAUUGUCAACUCAAUGUUCCUUUUUGAAAACAAUAUGGGUAAAGUGCAGUGCUUCUGUAGCAAGAUAUUUUGAUCUCCCAGAUCGUCGUGUGGACUUAAUUAUAUUAUUGUGGCUGGAGAAAGUAGUCAAUGGUGUUGUUAAAUAGGCAUGAUCUUCUAUAGGGACACAAUCCACAAAAAUUCAUUUGCAUUCAUCUUCGGAAAUGGCCCAUUAAUUGUAAGGAUCAUGUGGUGAUGUAUGCGAUUUAGUGAGGUGUUGGUGAUUUAUGAUGACAACCCAAUUACUGAGAAUAAUAUAUAUUUUAAGAUGGGUUAUAGAUAUUUUAGUAGAUUCUACAGGUUCAAGGAAACAAACAACAUAAAGAAUAGUGAAGAAAUAACGAAAAAACCAUGAAAAUAAUGAACUAAUGUGGUUGGAUAGUCCACAGUACAGCGUUGGACAAUUAGGGUCAGUGUUUAGCCAACAAAAUGAUUAGAGAUUUAGAGCACUGUUCACUUAGCUUGGUGAAAGCUCUAAUUUAGUUUUGGUGAAUUGAUGAAACUCUAUGUGCUAACCUAUUGUUCUAAGUAUUUAUGAGAUAGGAAAGCACAUUCCAAGUGGUGAGCAACAUGGGUGAUGAUCAUAAUGGUGAUAGUGGAACCAAGGUGAUCAAGUGCUCGGGCUUGGAAAAGAAGAAAGAGAAAAACAAAAAGCUCAAGGCAAAGGUAUAAUUUUUUUUGACCGAAGUCAGCAAGGAAACCCCAGCCUAUUUUUUUAUUUUUUUAAUAAUGCAGAUCUGUUUAAAUUCGCUCCCACCGGGAGUCGAACCCAGGUCUGCUGGUGCUACUCAGGUGCUCUAACUACUAGGCUAGAGGCCCUUUCGCGGCAAAGGUAUAAUUGGUUAGGAGCUUUUUGGUUUGCACUCAAGACACCAUAGAGGGUGUGAGUGAUUUAGGAUUGAUAGUCGUACUAUUGAGAGGGGUAAAACUCGUAUUGAAAUGUGGUUGUCAAAGUGCCACUAGAUGCUCUAACUCAUUGUAUAUGUAUUAGGAUCUAGUGAGUGCGCUAACUUCUUUUAGAAAAAUGUUUAUGAAAAUACUAACACGCUUGCACAUGGUGAUCUGCACUUGGUGGUGUUGGCAUAUUUACAAAGGAGGUGGAGUUUGAUGGGUUGAGAGGGGUUUGAGAUCCUCUCUCCCUUGGUGGUGUUGGCACAUUUGCAAAGAAGGUGAAACUUGAUUCGGCGCUUUUGGGAAAAUAAUUUGUAUAUUUUCUACUGCACCAGAGAUGGACUUGAAGUAGUGGCGAAGUCGUGGUAGUGUCUUGCACUGAAAUAGUGCACUAGACACUGGUGCUAAGAGCACCGGACGCAGGGGCUUUGUCCGGUCAGUUCUAACUGGCAAGCACUCUAAGGGUUUACCAUCGGACACUAAGCACCGAAUGUUGGCUGAACAAGCAUUUGGUCUACGUGACAUGGCGAGUCUGUGCGAGCCGUGUUGCACCAGACGCUGUGGUGCGUCUAGUCACUAGGCACCGGACGCCUCCGGUGAUGAAAAACAUGUUUCGGAUCCUCUCUGAGUAGCAACCAAACACUGGGUGCCGAGUUCAGUCGGUGCGUCCGGUGUGAACUUAACCAUUGAGAUCUUACGAUGCGACCUUCAAAGGUAGAGGACAUGUGGCGAGAAUCCAUGCAUCGGACGCUGAGGGCUGCGUCCGGUCGUUUGCACCAGAGCGUCCGGUGGCCCCGUGUUUUGAGAAGAUGGAGAGCCAACGAGUCUAUUUCUUUGAGGGGCCUAUAAAAGGUGGUUGUCUAGCUUGGGCUCAUACCUUUGGCCAUUUUCAUUGACAUAGCAACCUUGUAAGCCUAGCGAAUAUACUCCCACUCAAUUGCAUCAUUAUUUGAUCAUCCUUGUGAGAUUGGAAGAGCAUCCAAGUGCAUUGCUUGAGUGUUUGCAUCUAGAGGAACUUGGUGAUCGUGUUUCGUUGCGGGAUUUGCUUGCUACUCUUGGAUGUUUGCCGACUCCUAGACGGCUUGGUGCAGCAAGGAUCAUCAAGCAGAGGUUGGUGAUUGUCUCCGGCUCCGAUCGUGGUGAUUGUGAGGGGUUCUUGACCUUUCCCUGACGGAGAGCCAAAAAGUAUUCUAAUGAAUUGCUCGUGGCUUGUGUGAUCCUCAUUUUGUGUUGGUUGUGCGGCACCUAUGAGGGUUUGGCGUGUGAUGGCAAUUAGCUCGUGAACCUUCAAGCAAGUGAACCUUGGUACAAAAUCAUUGUGUCAACAUUUGAUUCCUAGGUGAUUGGUCUUGAUUGACAUUCUCUAUUGUGAUUGAUUGGCUCAUUCCUCUAUGCUGUGGUAUAUCAAUCCUAACCCCUCUUGGUAUUACUUUGCUAGCUAGUUUGUGUAGCUCUCUUGCUUAGCUUAGCUUAUCACCUAGGGGUAAGUAGUGACAUAGUCUUGGUGUGCUUCCUUAGAGACUAUAGAAACUAUAUUAGGUAGGAGGCUUUCUUCGACAUUGUAGAGCUAGUGCCAAAUUCGCUUCGCCAUCUUAUAUACUAAUCAAGUGCUUUUAGUGUUGUUGUAAAAAAUUUUAUUAGGCUAUUCACCCCCUAUAGCCAUUAGGACCUUUCACUUGGUCAAUCAUAUCGCAUCUUACCAAACAAAGAGACCAUAAAAAAUGAAGAUUGGAGACAAGCAAUAAAGAAGAAGGAAAUUUAUAAAUACAGUUGUUGUCAAUAGAAUAGAUGGUCCGACCAAUCAGAGAAGUGUGCUAGACUUUCUAUAGUGUUGUCUGGCCAUCACUUGUGCAGGGACACUGUGCAAAUGCAUAGUCUAGACGAUCUAGUAAGUAUUAAAGAAGUUCUAGAAUUGAACAAUCUGACAUCAUCCAAUCUGCAACGACUAGUACUUCAAUGGUCACAACUGACUAGAUAUUCUGAUAGAAGCAUAAUCUAUGAGCACUAGAUCGUCAGCGUUGUUUUUCGACAAACUUUGGCUAAUGGCCAUAUGAGAAAUGGAGGAGUUAUAUAUACUCCGUUCUAUCAUUUUGUGGUGGUUGGAUGUUGUUGAAGUUUCCCAUGGCUACUAGAACUAAAGCAAGAGAUUGUUUAAUCCAUCCACCCUCUCAAAUGCAUGUUGAUCACAUCCAAGACAUAAGAUAGAGUCUAGCAUUUAUCUUUGAGGGUGUUAGGCAUGAGAGCAUGAGAGCUUCAGAGUUAGGGUUGUUGAGCUCUUGUAAUACUAGAUCAUACCCCGCGCAUUGCUGCGGAAACAUAUAAUUGGAAUGUAGGAAAAACAGGAGAGAAUACACGAUACUUACUAAUCAAACAUACGACAUGGGUACUUCAUAUGGGCCAAUAAAGACUCGAUGUGGUAUGAGCAUUCAUAAACAUCCGGCUUUUGGCCAAGGAGAUGGAACCUCUCAGUGCUUACCAGGGGCCAUGCAGCAGCGCAGGGAGGAGCUCGAUGGUGGCGAUCUUCCUGGCGGUAGCAGCUACAACGUGCGCGUCACCACUAGUGAACAUGCAGCGAUCAUUGACCAAUGACAGCACCUUCUACUUCCUAUGGAGGGGCAGGAGAGAUUCAUUUUACGCCGUAGGCGAUUGAUGCAUGCGUAAUGGUGCUGGCGUUUCAAAUGAGGAUGCAUGCGUAAUGGCUAGUGGGUGAGGUGUAUGUGAACCCUUGCAAUUUUGUAUGCACAUGCACAUGCACAUGCGUUAGGCUUUAAUUUGGAGGCAUACGUGUAGAUGUGGGACCCUCGGAUGACGUGGCUGCAUGAGAAUGCAGGGAAAAUAUGGUAGUGGGGAUCUCCUAUUUAGGCAUAGAGGAUUGGUGAGCUAGAGAACUUGGGUUGUGUUGCUGACCUUGCAAUGACAUUAACCCUCUGAGCUUGGUAUUGAGCAGUGGCAACUUAAUGUGCAUGGGAUGAGGAGACUCCUUCCUUAUUAGAGAAGCUAUGCUUCCUUACUAGAGAAGCUACAUAGAGUGCACACAACAUCAAAGGUGACCAGGAAAGUGUGGUGGUAAGCUUUAAUGGGUUGCGACACUUUUCUUGGUUAUGCAAGCCUUUGUGGAAAGCUCAACACCAUUACCAAGGGAUGAAGCUUUAGUGACAGGGAGCAUACCACAUGGGAUCUCUAGUGUGCAUUAGGGGUUGUGGUUUGGCAACUGAUAUCAUGGGAUACAUUAUUGUCUCUAAUUAAGAGUUUGACCUAUCUUGACUUGCUAUUUACGUACCACAUUAGGCCUCUAUAUUGUGCUUGACUUGUGUGGCAUUUACCUUUUAUUAAUCAGUAUAAGGUAGUUAAUAGGAUUGACUCUAGGUUGCAAAAGUCUUUGGGGGUGUAGGUAGGUAGAGUACACUAGAAAAACUUAUGGUGCAUAUCAUGCUAUACUAGUUUAUAUUUUUUCUAGUGAAAUUCAAGUAGACCCCCAAACUCCAAUCACUAGUGGCAACCUCUAAGGGAACCUCUAAGAGUAAGCUCUCAAGCUUGCAAAACAAUCACUAUAGCGCCGUUGGAUCGCUCAAGUAAAUGCACUAGAUCAUUCCAAUAAAAAAUUACCAAUCAAGUAGAUGCUAUCUCUCACUGAUUCAAUUGGUAACAUAUAUUGCCAGGCAUUAGAUUUCAGAAACUGUUUAGCACUAUCUAAAGAGGGAUGGUUGAAGUAGCAUCAUGGUAAAAAAAGUCCAUCCAAUGGGCUGGGAUACAUAUAUAGUGGCAUUUUCCCUGCCAAGAUUCAUUAAUACAUAAUAGUAAAUUUGUAGAUUAUAUGAUGUUCAUUAUUACAAUAUAUUUAAGAUGCCAAGAUUUUCCACUUGGACUUCACAACAAGAGUGAAAAAUAUAAAGAGGCCAAAGCCGAGGAAAUUACAUAAACAUGCAUAUAGUGAAAACAGGUGGUGUCAGUUUUCAGCAUCUCCAUCCAAAACUGACAAAACGCCACCAUCCGGAAGCUGUGAUUAUUAUUGCCGUGCAGUACUCUGCAGGUGAGUGAAGGGGAAGCGGCCUAGCCGGUGUUCUGCAUGCCGGCGGCGAUACCCUUCAUGGUGAGGAUGAGCGUGUCUUCCAGCCCCGGCGGGUACUCGCUCGCCGGGUUCAGCUUCACCAGUCCGGCGGGCUUGUUCUCGUCGGCGAACUCCUUGGACAGCGGCGGCUGCGGCGUCACCUUGAAGCUGGGGUCCCUUAUCCGCUUCAGCGUGUAGGCCUGGAACACGUUCAGGGUGGUGAUGUAGGGAUUGCGCAGACGCAGCCCCUGCUUCAGGUAAGGAUCGCCUUCAAGAAUGUCCUUGUGCCCAGCGAUCUGCAACAAAAAAAAAGUACAGUACAUGAAUAUAUAUAUAUAUAUAUAUAUAUAUCGUGCAGUCUGCAGUGCAUGAAUAUCAUUCCUGCAGUGAACUUGCUGGUAAAAAAAAAGGUACCUGUAGGAGAAGCUGCUGUGUCUCCACGUAUUUGUCCCUGAGCUGCUUCCCAAAGGGCUUGAGUUCCUCGGCGACAAGCAGCUCGUCGUACAAGCCGGCAAUGCCAGGGUCUCCCUUGGCGAAAACCAUCUCCAGCAGGUCCAGGGUGACCCUGAAGAAUGGCCACUCGUUGUACAUCUCCUUGAGCUUCUGGAAGUUCUUGAUGUCCUUGUCGAUGGCCCACUUGAAGGCGGCGCCGACUCCCAGCCACACGGGGAGGUGGAACCUCGUCUGUGUCCACGAGAAGAUCCAGGGGAUGGCACGCAGGGUGGUGAUGCCGCCGCCCGGCUUCCUCUUGGCUGGCCUGCUGCCGAUGUUCAUCUUCCCGUACUCAGUCUCAGGGGUAGCCUGACAGAGAAAGACAGACGAAUGAAUUAUAACGACGACAUGGAUGAAUGAAUUCGAUUAUUCGAUCGAUCUUCACCAAACAUCAAACAAAUAUAUGAUGGCAUACCGAUCUGAAGUACUCGACGAAUCGCGGCUCCUUGACGACGACGGAGCGGUACUCCUCCGUGGCGACGACGGCCAUCUCCUCCAUGAGCUUGCGCCACUCGGGCUUGGGAGACACCGGCGGGUGCAUGCCGUGCUCCAGCGUGGCGGCCGUGAACCGCUGCAGAGACUGGAAGCACAGGUUCUCCUCCCCGAACAUGAACUCGAUGACCUCGCCCUGCACCGUCACACGGAUGGACCCGUUGAUGGUGUCCGGCGGCUGGGACAGGAUGGCGAGGUGCGUCGGGCCACCGCCCCUGCCGACGGUGCCACCGCGGCCGUGGAACAAGGUCAGCUUCACGCCGUACUUCUUGGCCACCUUGGCCAUCUCCUCCUGCGCCACGUACAGCUGCCACGCCGCGGACAGGCGGCCGGCGUCCUUGCCGGAGUCGGAGUAGCCGACCAUCACCUGCUGCUUGCCGUUGAUGUGGUUGAUGUACCAGUCAGUGGAGAAGAGCUUCUCCACGGACGCCGGCGCCGCCUGCAGGUCGGCCAGCCUCUCGAACAGCGGCACCACGGGGAGCGUCUGGCGAAUGCCACACUCGCGCUGCAGGAGCUCGACGGCGAGCACGUCCGAGGGCGCCGUGCACAUGGAGAUGAUGUAGGGGCCGAAGCUGUCGAUCGGGAGCUCGGCCAGGACGCGCAUGGCGCCGAUGACGUCGGCGAUCUCCUCGGUCAUGGGAAGGUCCGGGGGCAGCAGUGGGCGCUUGCCUUUCAGCUCCGACACCAGCCACUCCAUCCGCUUGUCCUCGGGCCACGAGCGGUACGACCCGAUGCCGAGGUGCGUGGUGAUGGCGUCGAUCACGUCGGUGUGCCGCUCCGACUCCUGCCGGAUGUCCAGCUUCACCAGGGAGAGACCGAACGCGAACACCUGGCGAAGGAGGUCCAGGAGGCUCCCGUCGGCGAUGGCCUUGUCGCCGCACUCACACAGGGAUUUGUAGCACAGCUCAAGGGGCUCAAGGAACUGCACGCAUGAGAUGCAUUUUUUUUUGUGCGACAGUAAGAAUCAGACCGAAAUGUACUAGUACAUCAUAUUAUUGAUUGAUCGCUUAAAUCACAUUUCAGUUUCACAAAAGGAAUAAAAUUAAGGAACUUGCCGAUUUAUUUACCUCUUCGAUCUUGGUAAAUACCGCGUCCUCAGAAAUUUCAGAAAAUCCAGUUGCCAGCAGAUGGCGUGCACGCUCGCGUGUGUUGUAUAACUUGUCCCUUACAGCACCAAGGAUCACCCGGUAGGGCUCGUUUGGGGGAAUUUGCUUCCAGAAUUCUGCGCCAGCAUCAAAUACUCUUAUUCAGAAAAAUUGGCAAACUGACACACGUACGGCUAAUUAACACGGGGCAACAUUGUUGAAAUCAAAUUUGAAAAGACUAGUGGAGACUUUGCAAAAGCCUGUGCACGCAACCACAAUCUGCAACUUGUCCUAGUGCCGUGGGUUCUCCUAUUUUUAUCAUUCAAUAUUUAGAAAAAAAUUUCUCUACCAAAUGCCUCCCUAAUGAGAAUUCCCAUAAUUAGUGGUAGUAUUUUACUACUACUUAAAACAUUAGGAGAACUCUAUUAUUUUUGCUAGUGGCGGCAGACGAAUCUAUGAGGAGGUACGAACAAGCAAUAGCUAAACAACAAUCUGCAUCUCUAAAAACGCUUAUUAGCUAAUUCAGUCUCUCUUUUUUUUCGUGAAUACCUAAUUCAGUCUCUUUAAAUAAAUAAAUUCUUCUGUUUGUAGUUACCUAUGUAAUACUUGGUAACUUUCUUUGAAGCUGGAGUACUCUGGACUUCUUCGGCUCGAGCACGAAGCUCAUCAUUGCAGCGCCACAUAGAGAGCUAGAGACAUAUAUCAGAUGAGAGUAUUGUUAUGGAUCGGAGGCACCAAAAAAACGGCAAGCCAAAAAAAUGAGCAUUACAAAGCAUUCAAUCAAACACAUUUGUUCAGUACCUCAAACAUCAGGUCUUCGACCUGAUUGAUGUACAAGUUUGCAGCCAUCAUUCUAGACAGCAAGCACACAUCUCUUGUCACCUCCGGAGUAACUCUUGGAUUUCCUACAGUGAUAAAAAUGCAAAGAUAUACAGACUUAACAACAUCAAACAUUAGCAUCAAUACUAUAGAACAUUAAAUUAUUAAUAAAAUAGAAUGACACCGCCAUCUAGUUUAUCUUUUUUUUUAGAAAACAAAAUUGGGCUCGAAUUUUGAUAGGAGAAGUGUUGAAAAGUAAAAAUAUGAAUCUAAAUCAGUCCUUUGCAAAAAAAUAAUUAACAAGUUUGUGAUAAUUGGAUAUAGACUACAUAGUAUCUAUUAUGUCUAUUUUAGAAAAUAAACAAAGAGCAAAACAUAUAAUUCAAUAUAAAUAAUUCUUUACUAGUCAGAUGUAUUAAACAAUAUAUAUUUUAAAAUUCUAGCUCGUGGGAAUGUUUUUCUCUUAGGCCCUGUUUUGCUACCCAAAAUUUUUUCAUCCAUCCCAUCGAAUCUUUGGACACAUGCAUGGAACAUUAAAUGUACAUAAAAAAAUAAACUAAUUACACAGUUUGGUUAAAAAUCGCGAGACGAAUCUUUUAAGCCUAGUUACUCUAUGAUUAGCCUUAAGUGCUACAGUAACUCACAUGUGCUAAUGACAGAUUAAUUAUGCUUAAUAGAUUUGUCUUGCAGUUUCCUGAUGAGCUAUGUAAUUUGUUUUUUAUUAGUUUCUAAAGACCCCUCCCGACAUUCUUCCAACAUAUCCGAUGUGACACCCAAAAAAUUUUCAUCCCCAAUCUAAACAGGGCCUUAAUUGAAAGAUAGAGAGCUCCUGCCACUUUGUUAAAAAAAAAGUAAGUGGAAAUAUACCAUCACGGUCACCACCCAUCCAAGAACAGAACUUAAUGAGAGGAACAUCGUAGGGAAGGCGCUCAUUGAUGCCGAUAUUCUUCAGGGCUGUAUCCACACGGCGCAAAAACUUAGGCACACCGUUCCAUACAGUUUCAUGGAUGUAGCUCAUCCCAUAGCGCAUUUCAUCCUGUGGGGUGGGUUGUGCUCUCCUGAUUUCAUCAGUUCUGAAAGCUGCUUGGAUCUGUGUACAUCCAACAAAACAAAUUAGAACUAAACAACCAAAAUAAAUUGAUAGAUACAGUGAAGGUAACGACAGAAUUCAAUCUAAUCAUAACAAAAAACAUGGUACACAAGAGAGGGAACACUGUAAGUUUUGUUUUUCAUUUUUUUUGAAAUCAGGAAACAUUUAAAGUUUGUAUCACAGACUCUUUACAGAUGGUGCAAAAUGUUAUUGUGUAGGCCUAAUAACAAACUGCAUAUUGAGUUUUCAGUCACCUUUCUAUGUUUCUUAUAUUAAACUAAUGGUACUUGUUUAAUGUAAAUAGUGAAUUUUGUUCUGACAAGAUCACAAUGCGUUCUCAGUUUGACAUGGUCUAGUCUGAAGGUUUUCUUUUGUUGAAAGUUCUGUAUAAUUAUUCAAGAAAAUCAUACAUCCUUGUUUAUGUAGAUGACCUAAAUAAAAAUGUUGGUUCUUGUGGAACAGGUUUACUUCUAAGUAUCUCAUAUUUUUGCAUAUAAUUCGAUCUCUCUCUCGAUAGAGUGUCUAUAUUUUUCCAACGGCGUACCAAACAGAGUGAAAGGACAUGGGGAUUAGCUACCAAUAAAACAUGGACAAUUACUAAAACACCCUUAAUUCCAUAGAGUGGGAAAAAAUAUGACUCUUCAUAAAAUUUUAAUUAUAGUGUAAAGAGAAAAAUCAGGCUCGUUCUGAUUCGUGUAAUGAUUACCUAGGGAAUAGGAUAAUGUGACAUUCUUAAAUGUUAGCAAUGUUUUAAAUGAUUCUUCGUGCUCAUUCAUAUAUAUAGAGUGAAGAAGGCUUGUGCUCUCGUGAAGUGCAGCCAGACACCUCACACAAACAUAUAUAUUGACAUAUCAAUUGAGGAUUAAUUUCUCUGGCCCACUUAGUUACACGUGUGUCGUGCCCAAUGUCUUAAGCUCAUGAGUCCACUUCUAUUCUAUCUCUAUCAAAGAAAAAAUGUAACGACGACGCAAAAAGAGAUAGACACUUUGACAGGACAGUGAUUGAAAAACUUUUACGAGAAUGGCUCAAACGGUUUUCGAAUUUGCAGGAAAAUCGUGUAAAAGUGUGUAUAUCCGAGGCUAGCUCUUGAUAAAUAAAGUUAUUAUAUUCCCAGAUGUGUGAAAUGCAUGUAUGCAUGUACGUACCUCUCUGUGCAGAGCCUCGUCGAGCUCCUUCUUGUCUUCGACCGUGACGUCCUUGGCACUCAGCUGCGUCAGACAAUUCCGGAUCCUGCAACGACGACAAGAGAUCAACAUUUUUGAUCCAGAAAUCCAAGGGAUUUGGACGCGGAUUAAUUGCAGAAUGAGAUCGAGUCGUAGUAUACCUGGCGUUUUUCUGCAGGAGCGACCUCCUGGCGGACUGCGUGGGAUGCGCGGUGAAGACGAGGUCGACGCUCUGGUUCUUGAGCGCCUCGAACACCUCCGCGGGGGUCUUGCCGAGCGACACGAGGCGCUUGAGCGUCUCCUCGAUGUCGGACUCGGUGGUGGCGGAGCCCUCGUCGGAGAAGUCCCCGUGCUUGAGCUUGCUGUUCCGGCGGCGGUGCGCCAGCUCCACUUCCUCCGCCAGGUUGGCGAGGUUGAGCAUGUGCAGGAUGGAGCUCGCCACCAGGAUGGCGUCGGCGGGGGCCAGCCCCGUCAGCUUGGCUCCCAGCUCCCCCAGCUUGGACGUGUCUUUCUUGCCCUCGUAGUCGGCCGACACCUCGUAGCACUCCUGGACCUGCAUGCAUCGCAUUUGGGUAUAUAUAUAUAUAUAGUAAGCACCGGAUUCGAGACGUAUAGACUAUAGAGAGGUGAGCUGAUGAUGCUCUCAGCUCGAUCUGCUACGUACAAAUUCGCGAAGGCUGGGGCCAUGGAGGUCCUGGAGGAUGUCGAGGAAGCGGUCGACGAGCAGGGCGUCAUACUGGAUGAGCUCCUCGGAGACCUUGCCGGGUGCGAGGGCACGGAGCUGCGC
Molecule: long non-coding RNA, 56259 nt
Filed under: Sorghum bicolor (sorghum)
Lineage: Eukaryota; Viridiplantae; Streptophyta; Magnoliopsida; Poales; Poaceae
Description: long non-coding RNA (SBIC_LNC018062)
Source: RNAcentral